UUUCAAAUAUCUUUCUAUCACCCGUCUGUAUAUAAUACAAGUUCACACGUAUCUGCCUGUAUGGUUGAAGUGGCUAUGAUAUGUAAGGGGGUUACAUCCUUUGUGAUAUCAUUUUAGUCAAAUCAAUUAUGUGUGUUUUUGUGUUCAGUCUAUAUAUUUUAUAUUAUUUCAUCACAUAUCAAUAUUUUCUUUUGUCGUUAGGUUCUUUUUUCUUAUUUAAUCUUGUUUUUUUUUCUUCUACUAGAUAUAUGUUGAGGCAACAAACCCAGAUGCAUGAGCUAUCCUUCCAUGCUUGAUCAAAUUCAAAUCAAUGAUUUUGUUUUGGAUUUCUACACAUUAUCAAUUAUGAUUUGCUGCUAAACACUUAGUUUUUGCAAUGUUCACGACAAAUUUGUGAUGGGUGUGAUUCUUUGAUUUAAUAUGGAGACCAGGUAAGCUUGGAAGAAAUAUAAUUUUGUUUUAAUUUUUAACUAAUAUUAAAUUAAUAUAAUAAAUAUAUUAUAUUUUUUUUGUGAAUUAAUUUUUUUUUAUUUUGAUGAGUAAAUAAUUUAUAUAAUUUAUUUAUUAGGUAUUCUUCAUUAUGUUUUUCAUCUUUUGUUGAGAGUAUUUUAGAAAUUAGGAUAAGUUUAAAAGAAGUAAUUCUUGAACUGAUUUAGAGUCGAUAAUGUGUAUUUCGAGAGUUUAUGUUAAGAUCGAAUGUGUGAAUUUGUAGUUAUCUUGAUUGCAUAUAGGAUAUGUGUGCUAAUUUUUCUUAAGGUUUGACAAUUAUAAACCUUCAUGGUUUCUUCAAUCUUAUUGAAAAUGAAUGUUCUUCUGUUACGCAAUUACAUUAUUAGAGAUUAAGAUCAUUCAAUUAAGAUCAUACUCGUGUUUAUAUUUGACUCAACAAUUUUUAAAUCACAUAAUAUUAUUAUGGCAAAUUUUCAAUAAAUACUUGCAUUCUCUCCCAUGAAUUAUGAUCCUGGGAAAUAUGUGCUUUUUACUUCACUUGUUUUAUUAUCUUAUACAUUAUUAAAUGUCUUAAAUAUUAUUUGAUGCGGCACACAUUUAAACGUAAAGAUCAACUUGUUAAAACUUUAUCGAAAAAAAUUUCUUUGAUAUUACUGUUGGAAACAUUGAAGUCAAUUAUGAUUUUGGGCCACUUAAUAUUGUCUAAUUGGACUAAUUAACUAAGCCCAAAUCAUGCUCAAACUGUCCAAACCAGAAUGGGAUUAGGUUUUGGUAUUUUAUGAGUAUAAAUAAUGUUUUUUUUUUGUUUGAGACCAAACCAUCUAUACAUUCAUCCGUUUUCAUAUUUUGUUGUUGAAAAAUCAAACUCAACGGAAGCUAAAUUUUGUAGAUCAAUUCAGUAGUUAAGGAUCCCAUUUUAUAUUUUCAUAUUUGUAUGUCUAAUGUCAAUAUCAUUUCAAUGAUUUAUUAUCUUUUGGUUUUGAUUUUCAAUAUGUUGAUCACAAUAUCUUCCCUUUAAUUUAUGUUGAAUGCUUUUUUCAAAUUAAAAAUCUAAUUUCAGGAUCACACUUCAAGAAAAUCUAGAAUUUGAUUUACAAUAAUUUUGGAAAAAGCGUCAUAAAACCACAACUAAUCUAAAUAUUAAAUCAAAUUAAACCUACAACAAAACAUUACAAAUCUAAAUAUUGAAUAUUGAUAUAAAUCAAGUGUCUAAGUAAAUGAAUUUGAUAAACCUAGGCAAAAUUGAACUUUACAAAUCUAUGUAAUUGAAAGAAGCAUUCAACAUAAGUGAAAGAAAAUAUAUUGUAAUCAACGUAUUGAAAAUCAAAUGGAAAUAAUAUUAAAUCAUAGAAAUGAAAUUAACAUUUCUAAAUUCGUACCUCAAAAUAUAAAAACGGGAUGCUUAACUACUAAAUUGAUCUACAUAAUCUAGUUUAUGUGGGGUUUGAUUUCCCAACAACAAAAUAUAAAAACGGCUGAAUGAAAAGAUGGUUUGCUCUCUAUCAAAAAAAACCUUAUUUAUACUCCUAAAUUACCAAAACCUAAUCCAUUCUAUUCUUGACAGUUGAAACAUGAUUUAGGCUUAGGUAAUUAUCCCAUUUAGGUAAUAUUAAGUGGCCCAAAAUCGUAAUUGACUUUAAUGCUUCAGAGAUUCACAUUUUUUUUUUACCAUAAAGACGUUUGAAAUGGGCUUUUAGUAUAAAAAUGAAAGUUGUAUCUCUAUUCAUUUUCUAUAUACCACCAAUUGUUUGAUUUGUAAACCCAACUCAGUGUUGUUCAAGUGAAGGGAGAUGUUGUUUAUGUUUUGUGCAAGUGAUAAAUUUUCCCAAUGCCUUCCUUCUGCUAUAGAUAUGGUAUUGAGAGAUUUUGGUAUUUUUAGCACGUUAUGAAUGAGUUAGAUAUAAUGGACGUCUUUGAUCACAAAGGGGCGACUUAGGUUCAAGAAAUCAAUUGAUGUGGAUAUAUAACAGUGAUAGUCUUCACAAUUAAGGGUUAAGAAAUCAUUUGGUAAGUUUUUCAAAUAGAGGCAAGAGAAAGAAUAGAGUAAAAUAUAAGAGAAAAGGGUUCUAAAGGGAGAAAUAGGAGAAAGCUUGAAGAGGCAAAGAGAAGAGGUAGAUUAAAGCAUAGGUGGCUAGCUUAUUGGAUUAAGAGGUAAGAGGGAAGAUUUUUUUUUUUUUUUGAAUGGCAAAAUAUAUAUAUAAAAAAGAAAAAAACCGCAAUAGUUAUAACAAAAUACACAAAAGGAGCCAACAAACGACUCUCCACCAAACCUCCACAAAGGAAACAACACAAUACACCCCACAGGCGGGGCCAGGCCGAAACCAAAGAGAGAAAGCCCCAGAGAGGGCAAAAGCACCAAAAGAAAAACGCACCAAACGCCGAUUGUCAACGAAAGCAGCAAACACCUGCAAGCACAAAGAACAACAAGAAAAAACCCCAAGGCCACACCAUAAAGGAAGGGGAGAUACAACCCCACCAAACCCAACAGGUAACCCAACAGGCAACCCAAUAGAGGUAAGAGGGAAGAUUAUUUUCACAAUCUAGAAUUUAUGAAAAAUUAAGUGGUUGUAGAUUAUGCGUGUUCUUAAGUUUUCAUGAAUUUUUUUGUUGAAUUAAGUUAAUUUCGUGCCCUAAUUAUUAUGAUUAUUUUGAGUAUGUGAAAACUUGUUGUUGUUUCAUGAGAAUCCAUAUUUCAUUAUAAUAAGUCGGUGCUUAUGGGUUUUUAGGUUAAUUGAACAAAAUUCAUGAAGUUGUUGAUGAAUGAUGUUAAAUUUAUGUUGUACUUCUUCUUAUGACAUAGGGUAUGUGAAGGUUAUUUUCCCGUCAUUUUUAAGUGAUUAUGUGGUGUUUUUGAGUUUUUGAAAAAGUGUGUGGAAAAUCAUGAAUUUGGAUAUGUGAAUGAUGUUUUGAUGUAUGUUAAGUGUUUAUAAUAUAGUGGACGACCUAGGAAAAUGUUUUUGGAAGAUUGGAAUGUGUUGGGGUUGAUUUAAGGGAUUUAGAAGUGAUUAUUUGGCAAAAAUUCUGUUAUAGAAAGCUGAUAAACUGAUUUUAUUUUUUUUGCAAAAUUGUGCUGAUAUAAUGGAUUACAUCAAGUCCAUGGUGCCCAAAACCUGUUUUUUUAACUGCGUAGUCGAUUAUACCCUGUCUAAAACAUUUAAAAUGCAUUUUUCGUCACUCCAAAUGAUUUCAAACUUGAUAGGAUGUAUGAUGACUUAUUUCUAUCAAUUGAAAGAGGAUUUUCAUGAUAAAAACAAAGUAGUGGGACAUUUCAAGAGGUAGUAUGUGUUUGAUGAUAAUUGAGUAAAUGAAAUGCUUUAUGAGAACUAAAUUGAGAUUGUAUAAUGAAAUGAAUGUGAGUUAUGAAUAAUAAGUAUGCAUGAGUAGUUAACGAGGAGAUACAUGAACAUUGAACUUAGCUUAUGUGAAUGUGAAAAUUGAUUGACUUUGUGAAUAUGGAAAAUAGACAGACUUAGUGAAUUGAUGAAUUAUAGCGUGUUGACUUGUAAUUAGUUUUAUGAUGACAAUAAGGUGAUGAAUAAUGGUUGAAUUGGUCAUUGAUAUGUGAAUGAAAUAUUGAUUAAUUAAGUGUAAGUGGCGAAUUGUCUAAGAUACAAAUUGACUAAAUGUAGUGAUAUUGUUUCAUUGAUGUUAUAUUGACGAUGAUAUCAUAUUGAUGAUAAUAAUGAUGUUGGUGUGAUAAACAUGAUGAUGUGAAUAUUAUGAUGAUGUUGAAUUAUUGAUGGGAAUAAAUGUUGAUGAUGAAAUAAAUUUUUAUGUAUGAAUGUAUUGAUUUGACGAUGAUUUGAAUAUUGGUGUGUUGUUAUGCUAUAUGAUGAAGUGAUAAUGUAACAUGAACUAUAUGGAGUCGUACAUUGUCGAGUCUAUGCUUGAAUCCAUGCAUCAUGGUCGGUCCUAUUUGAUGACGGGUGGAUUAUAAGGUAAUAUACCUUCGAUUAUCCAAUUAUUUAAAGAUGGGGGAUUACUCGGUAACAUAACUCUGACAUCCAAAACAUGGUACCACAUACAUAUAGAGUCAAACUAGAACAUGACAUACAUACGAGUCUAUGUGGGAAUCGUGAUUUGAUUAUGUGAAUAUAUGAGAAGAUGUGUACAUGACUAUGUGUGUUCAUAUGAAAAUUGGUGAUGGUGAUGAAGUGUGAAUGAUAUAUAUUCGAUUUUGUGACAAUGUGAAUACUUGUUAUAUCUUGUGUUGAUGAUUUGCGAAUUAUUAUAUCUUUUUAAUUGAUUGAAGGAGAAUGCAUAUAAUUAUAGUAUUGCUAGAAAAUGAAUAUGUGUAUUUGUGAAUCAUAAUACUAUGCAUGAGUUUGUAUCUUCUUUAUGUUGAAUGUAUAUCUUACCCACUAGUGAUUUUUUGGUCGCCUACAUCCUCGUGUUGUAGACUUGCAGGUUGAGCACCCUUAGUCGACGUGAGUAUUGGAGGACGGUUGGCACCAACUCUCUUUUAUGCCUUUUUAGUUUUAUCUAGUAGGUUUUCAUUAAGAUGUCAGACAUUUCAUUUUAUCUUUGGAUUUAUGUUUUGAGGAACCAUUGAGCUCUCAUUGAUGAUGUAUCUGAUAUUUUGAGAUCAUGACUUUAUGUUGUUUUGAGAUGUUAUUUCCGCUGUCACUGUUUAUGAUUCGAUGAUUUAUGCAUAUUUAUUAUUAAUGAUGAAGUGGCAUUUUUAAGUUUAUAUGAUUAAUGUUGCAUUUAUGCUUUAAUAUUGUAUUUGGGGUUCAAGGGUGUUACGAAAUGUCAUGAACUAAAAAAAAACAUACUUGAAAUUUCAUAUAAUGCUCUGACAUCACAUGGACUUGCGAUGAUUAAGUUUUAUUUUUGUGAAUAAAGACAAGACCAGGAACACGAAGCAAGAAUCAGUGAGUGACUGGUGAAGAUUUGGAGUAGAAAGUUUUUAAGUUUCCAAAAAAUUAACAUGCGACUUCCAAUAGAAUAGUUCUCACCCUUGGGGAAAUUUAUGUGUGCAUAUGUGAGAUAACUAUGAUAUUGUUGUAAGAUUAGGCAUAAGAUUAUCUCUAUAAAUAAUAAUCAAUAUAUAAAUAUAAGAAUCAAUUAAAAAUAAACAAAAGAGAAAUCAAUAAAUUUAUUGCUUUUGAGAUUGUUGUUGAAUUAGAUCAUCGACCACAACUCUAUCAACAUCUUUGACAAUUAAAUCAAACCUGCUACUGAAUCAACUACCAACGUCUGCAAAAGGAACAAACCGUAAAAUAGUAUGAGACACUCUGUACUUAAGGAACUUCCAUGAAAUUAUAUGCUAAACCUCCAAGAUUUAGUAGACCCUUCUCGAUGUGGAAUAAAGGAAUCAGAACUGACAAAAAAAAAUUCUAAUCAGGAAGAUGAAAACCAAGAAUUAUUUUUUGCUAAGAAGAGGGGAGAAUUGUUUUUGUUUUAAUACUGAUCAAAGCAAGUGAAAAAUGUAACUUUUUUUGUAUGUGCUUCAUAAGGCCUAAGGCAAAACAUAAUUGUUGAGUCAAGGAAAGAAAGCAACCUUAGUAAUAGCCACAUUCAAGAGAUAUUAAAAGAAAGACGGUUACAAAAAUUUAGAAUUAAAAACAUGUUUACAAAAUCAAGUCAAACAUUAUAACUAAUAAUAUGAUAAUAAUUUUCUAUUAAAAUAUUUUUCUAUAUUUCUCAAUUAAAAAUAUGGGACACAAAAUAUUUGAAACUUUUGAAAUAUACUCAAAAUUUACAACAAAUAAUAGGACUGAAAAAGUAUACAUACACCACCUUAACUCUUGUGACUGGUUACACUAAAGAGUGCAACCGGUUACAAUGCCUGAAAAGUGUUUAAAAUGGACUCGUAUUGUGUAAUAUACUAUUUUGGACCAUACAUUGACAUUGUAAACCUAAUGACAAUACAAUGACACAAGAGAGAAUUAUAGAAAUAUCACUUUCUUCCUUCCUGAAACCUCUUCCCUAAACUAGACAAUUUUAUAGGUGUUUUGAAUCUUUUUAUUGCUAAAUUAUGUAAUUCCGCAAGCAAGAUAUCUCAUGGAAGUUUUUGAAGACAUUGAAUUAAGAUCAACAAAUUUGUAGAAGGCUUUGAAGUCGUUAUAAAAUUGGAGAAAUUUUAUCCAAAGUCCCAAGAACAAGUUGGAGAAGCGAAACACUCCAAGAAUGAUGAAAAAGACAUUUUUUGCACUUAAAGCUAAUGUUAUGUGCUCUAAAUGCUCUGGGCAAAGAGUUCAGCUCUCUUUUACACAAACCAUGUGCUCUGCAUGCACAGUCUCAUCCGUGAAAACGCAGCUGAUUUUUUCUCCAGUACAAGCUAUUUCCCGAGUUGUUCCACGGAGACAACUAUCUGAGAAUCACUUUCCACCCACAAGUUAUUCCAGCUCAUUUGGAUAGUAGAGGACAUACAAUCUUUGGAUAUAUUGCUAUUUUCUUUAACCUCAUCCAUGACCUUCUUAUUAAUCCCUUAAAAUAUUAUUGAAUAUGAGUAUUGAUAAAUACUAAUAAAUACUAAUAGUAAAAUAUUACCCUUCAAAUAAUACAAAUUUAUUAUUAAUAUUAUAAUAGUACUAAGAUACAAUAUUAAAAAAUUCGGGGGGGUGUUACAUUGAAGAUGUACAUAAAAAGGUCGGCCUUGUCCGAACAAGAUAUAAUGAAGGAGUCCAUAUAUCAUAUACUUCUUGGACUAGUGAAGCCCAUCAAUGAAACUUAACCUAAUUACAUCAACAAAUCCUCGUGUAAGCUAUUUAUAAAUGUGUUAUUAGGUUAACUAUUACAAUUACAAUACAAGCAGACGUCGCCGCUUGAAUUUGUCCUCUUUGUGUAUCUCUAUUUGUCUAUGUUAUCUUUCAUUUGGAUUUUUUAUAUCUUUCUAUCACUCAUCUAUAUAUAUAUAUAUAAUACAAGUUCGCACGUAUGGUUGAAGUUGUUAUGAUAUGUAAGGGGAUAUACAUCCUUUGUGAUAUCAUUUUAGUCAAAUAAAUUAUGUGUGUUUUUGUGUUUAGUCUACAUAUUUUAUAUUAUUUCGUCAUAUAUCCACAUUUUCUUUUUGUCUUUGGGUUCUUUUCUCUUAUUAAAUCUUGUUUUUUUUUCUUCUACUAGUUCUACGUUGAGGCAAAAAACCCAGAUCCAUGGGCUAUCCUUCCAUGCAUGAUCAAAUUCAAAUUAAUGAUUAUGUUUUGGACUUCUACACAUUAUCAAUUAUGAUUUGUUACUACACACUUAGUUUUUGCAAUGUCCACUACAAAUUUGUGACGGGUGUAAUUUCUUUGAUUAAAUAUGGAGAGCAGGUAAGCUUGGAAGAAAUAUAAUUUUCUUUUAUUUUUUUAAUUAAUAUAAUAAAUAUAUUAUUAUUUUUAUGAAUUAAUGGUUUUUAUUUUGAUGAGUAAUAUUUUAUAUAAUUUAUUUAUUUGGUAUUCUUAAUUGUGUUUUUCAUCUUUUGCCGAGAGUAUUUUAGAAAUUAAGAUAAGUUUAAAAGGAGUAAUUCUUGACUUGAUAUAUAUGUACUAUCUAUAUUUUUUUUUGUUAAAUUUAUAAUUUUGUUGAUCUGAUUUAGAGUCGAUAGUGUGUAUUUCGAUUUUGUGUUUUAGAUCUAAUUUUAAAUUGAAUUUUAAGAGUUUAUGUUAAGAUCGAAUAUAGGAAUGCGUGAAUUUGUAGUUAUCUUGAUUGCAUAUAGGAUAUGUGUGCCUAAUUUUUCUUAAUUGUUCAAUGUUAUUCAAAAUGAAUGUUCUCCAGUUACGCAAUUACAUUAUUAGAGAUUAAGAUCAUUCAAUUAAGAUCAUAAUCGUGUUUAUAUUUGACUCAACAAUUUCUCUAUCAUAUAAUACUAUUAUGGCAAAUUUUAAACAAAUACUUGCAUUCCCUCCCAUGAACUAUGAUCCUGAGAAACAUGUGGUUGUUACUCCAAUUGAUUUUAUUAUCUUGUAAACUAUUGAAUAUCUUCAAUACUAUUUGAUGCGGCAAACAUUUAAACAUAAAGAUCAACUUGUGAAAUUUUUCUCUCUGAUAUUACUAUUAGAAUCUUCAUGAAAAUCAUGAAAUGAGGUAUUUUCUGACCCUUUACUUUGGACUAAGUUCGAUCUAUCUUGAACUAGCUCAAAUGAUUUUAAAGUACAGAGGUUUUGAAGGAUUAUACAAAUUCUAUAAGUAAUUUAUUAACCAAAUUCUUGAAGUAUGAUGUAAUUAGUUUGACAAUUAUAAUGCAAGUUGCUUAGAUUUAAGUUUCUAAUUUUCAGAUAUGCACCUCUAAUCUCUGGUGUUCCUAAAAGUUAUCAUUUUUAAUUUAUCCUUCUAGAAAACUUAUAUGUUAGUUAGAGCUAUGAUCAUAUUUGUUCAUUUCCUAUCUCAUUUUAUACGUAUAUACUGAAUUUGGGAUUCAUUUUAGAAAAACUAAAUAAUAAUUGUAAGAAUUCAUUUUUAGUGAUUUAUUUUUCAAUCAAUGACUAUAAUCCCACUAUUUAUUUCAAUCGUAUAAGUUUGAAAUUUAGAAUAUAAUACAUAAAGUUGUUGCAUGCAUGAGUGACUUGUUAGUUUGUUGAUAUAAAUUUACCUUUAUAAUUUUCAGAUUAAGUCCUACGCUCAGCUGAAUGGCUGCUCUGCUGAAUGGAUCUAUCAAACAAGUGUUAGAUUGCGUCACUACUGAUAUCUUAGGUUUGAUCGUUGGUUAUUCUCGAUUCCACCAAGAUAUUGGAUAUUCUGAUAAGGUUUGGAAUAUUAAUUUCGACUCUCAAGCGGAACAAAGGGAUAGCAAUGGAUCGGAAACAAACAAUUCUGUUGAAGAAAUCAAUACGGAACUCCAUUGGCUGUACCUUUUGAAGCUAUCAAUCAAAAGACUUUUAAUGCUGGUGAUUCUUCUGAGCAGUUCACGGCUGAUCUAAGACCAUAGCUAUUCAGUCUCCCAUCCAACCAACCGGCAAAAGAACCAAAAACUGCUCAUUGGGUGAUUUGUCAGUGGUUCUCGUACUAUGAAUAUACCCCAUCAAUUUUCGAUCCGAAAUGCAAUACAAAGAUUUUUCUUCAUAAUUUGAAGGGAGAACACUGGAUUGUUAAUUCUGUUACUAAAACUAAAAUACAUACAAGUCACUCUCUAUGUGGAGGAUGGACGGAUUUUGUCUGUGGCAAUAGCAUAAAGGUUGGAGAUGUCUGCAUUUUAAAACUUAUACAAGAGUGUGAAUUUCGUGUUCGCAUCAUCACUAAGGUUAGAAAAGAUUGGCUGGCACCUGCAUAUGAGGAAGCACUAAAUGCAGAUCUUCCUACAAUCCCAUUGAACACAACCCAACACAUGGGUGGGAUUAAGAAAGUGAUACAUGUAGCUUUCACACACUUGGCACUCAGUGUUGGUGAUAUUACUAGUGGGAAUGGAGAUUCUUUUUAUGUUUGCAAAAAUGUUGGUGAUGAUAGAAGACUACUAUACACUGGUUCAUGUGCAGAAAUUUUAAAUAUGAAAAAUUCACAAGAGCUCAAAAAGGAGUUUCUUUGGGCUGAAGUGUCUCUUGUAGAAUUGAAAUUGGUGCCAAUGCACAAAUCUUUAAUCAAUGUUGAAAUUCUUCAAUUAUUUUUCAACAUGGUGGUUGUUAAUCUUAUGAUGCAUGCUGUAAACUCUAUGACAUGGGAUCCAGGAGGGUGGUCUCUUGUUCAUUGAAGAAGUCAACAUGCAUGGGAAGUUCUUAUCGGAAUGAGAGCUCGGGGUCGAGUUCUUCUUAGGUGGAGGAGACUGAUGUAGGAGGGUUUCCUUAGUAAUUUUAUUAUUUCCGUCGAAUUUUAGUAAUUUUCUGUUUUUAUUUGAAUUGGUUAUUUUCGGCCCAUUAGGGAUUUGUUAUUUCCCUAUGUAAGCUUAACAGUUGUAGCCUAAGAGACGACUUUUUUUUUUUGGUCAAGUAGUCUAGUGGCUAAAAUUCGCAUAGUUAAAUGUGGAAAAGUGGGGUGUCCGGGGUUCGAACCCCGGCCCAUGAAUAUAAUAUUUUAUUCAUUCAAUAAUAUUUUAGAGAGUUUUUCUCAAUUUCUGGUGGAUUCCGAAACCCUAUUUUCACAAGUUUGUCGCUUUAAAACUUGUCUCUUCUCAAUCUAGGUUCAGUGUUUGCUAGUCUACGCUUCCGAUUGUGUCAUGGACGAGUAUCAUUAUUAUUAUUAUUAUUAUGAAAGUGAUGAUGGCAUAUGAUAUUUUGAAGGACGGAUUGAAGAGAUUGAGUUUAGGGUUUAUGGAGGAGGCAUUAAAGAUGUUGCAAUGUAUUGGCCUCCAUCUCCAUGAACUUUGCUGUUUACUUGGCCUCCAUAAUUCACACAUUUCACUUAUUAAAUAUUUUAGGGUUAAUUGUUCAAAUUGACCAUGUAGAGAAAUCUAUAGAAAAUACAUCGGACAUCUCCAAAGUUUAAUAGCAUUUCAAAUAUGCCUCGAUUUAUUUUUAUUUUUCAACCGAAACUUGUGAAAUUGUUAUUUGUUCCGAGUAAUAUACUCACAUAUCAAAUUUUGUUCGCUUAUUUUUUUUAGACAUGGUUCGAAUAUCAUAAAUACCUUCACCAUGAUAUUUUAGUGUUUUUAAACUUGAGACGAAUUAAUUAUGAAUUAUUUAAGAAAUUCAGAAUUAUGGCAAAAUUUAUAAUUAAUUCGUCCCUUCUCGAAACAUUUUUUUUGUAAAGACAUAAUUUAACCUUCUAAAUAUUCCUGCAAAAAAUCGUGAAUAAAUUAAUAUCAUUUUUUUGAACUUCAUGUAUAUUACUAGGUCAAAAAUAGGAAGAAUAUUAAAUUAUAGGGUUAAAAUAUGUUCAUUUUAUUUUACAGGAUCAUUUUUCAAAUUUCAAGCAUGUUACAGGGUAAAUUUGAAUAAUAAUAAUAAAAAUAACUAGACUCUAACCCGUCCGAUACACAUGUUUUUUGUUAAUUCAUAUGCAUAUGAAAUUUAGUAACAUAUUUAACUAUGAUCACUACUAUCUGUGAACAAUUUUACAUGCAUAGAAAGAAACAAGAAAAGAAAAAGAGAAAAAAGACCAAUUCACAAAAUUUAAAGAGUAGGAAAAGAAUCUAAAAAUCAUGGCGAUUCUGCAGAUCACUUCAAAUUAUGUAUUUCAAUAUAAGUCAUUCAACUUAUGCAACCAAAGUUCUAACAACAAUUGAUAUACCGAAAUAACUAUUUAAUUUCAAUUCGUCAAAAUAAUAUUUGAACAAAUAUUUAAGAACCAAAAACGAUAAGCGUAAGUGAAGGGAAAGAAAAUGACAGUUUAUGAGAAGUGGAAAAGGUGGGAUAAUAAAUGGGGGGGGGGGGGGGGGGUGCAACCAGAGUUCUAACAACAAUUAACACACCAAAAUAACUAUUUGAGAACAAAAAAUGAUGUGCGUGAUAGGAGUAUGGUGCUGAUGGUAAAUGGAGCAUACCCGGACUCCGUGAAGGGAGAAAAAAUAACAAUUUAUGGGAAGUGAAAAAGGUGGGAUAAGAAGUGGGAGGCGAUUUUAGAAUUUGAAAGCGAAAUUAAUUCAAUUGAAACUUGUGUGGUUUAAUGGCAAAAACUAAGAAGGAUAACCAUCUGUAACCUAGUUCAACUCUCACCAAGGAAUUUUUAUCAUAAAGCUUUUUUAAGCUAAUAAAAAAGGGCGGGACUAGGGUUGCUUGCAACACUAUUUAACAUUUAGAUAUGUCAUUGGUCCUUACACUUUGACCAUAUUUUAGCAUUAGUCCUUUCAUUUUUUUUUGUUUGACAUUGGUCCUUGCACUUUCUAAAAAAAUGGCAUUUGAUCCUUAUAUUAAGUCCAUGUUAAAAAAAUGCCCCAUCUGCGACUGCUACAAACGAUCCCAAAUUUACAACCCAUGAGAAUACAAGAAAACAACCCAAAACUUCCACAUCGUUUUCAAUUAUGAUAUUUUACUCUUUGAUGCAUCCUCUUUCUUCUUCAACUCCUCUUUCAAUCUGAUAUUUUUCCAUAAAGUUGUAGAACCCAGAAAUUGAGAGGCCGUAAAUAGCUGUCAAUAGAUUCAGACAUAUAUGCGUGAACGGAAGGACAAGGGCGAGUAGAGAAGCGGCGAAGAUUGUAUAUAUCGAUGGUUAUUAAAAAGAGAAAAGAUGCGGUGAAAAUUAAGAAGAGAAGCACGAUUUUGAAGAGUAUAGAAGUAACAAUUUUUAUAUUCAGCAACGUUAAUUGAGAAGAAAAGAGAAUGAACAGAAUUGUACAAUAUAUGAGAAGAUAGAGUUCAAUUCAGAAAAAAUUGGGGGUUGAUUUCAAUUUUAUAGAUUUUAUUAAAUUAAAUUAGAGUAAAUAUAUAGUAAUUUGAAAAUAGUUAUUUGAAAUCUAAAGUAAUAUUAUUUUUGCUUAUUAAAAAAAAGUAAUAUUAUUUUAAGUUUAAUGUGACAUGGUAUCCAUGUGUAUACUAAUUAAGUGCCAUAUCAUGUAAAAUUUUGCCACAUCAACAUCAAUUGAAACGUUGGAUUCUAUUUAAGAAAUUGGAAAAAUCAAGGGACCAAGUUUGUAAUUAAGACUAUUUUCAAAUCAUAGAUUCUCUUCAACCCUUUCUUAACGACUAUUCACACAGAAACAUUAUCACAAACACCUUCGAGGCACUCCAGAACGAGCAAUGUUGGAGCCAAAUUGUCUGAAGAAAGCAGUGAUUCCUUCAACUCUGAUCAAGAAUCCAUCUCCUGGAACCAUUCAAUCCACUCGCCUUGCUCUUCAUGUUACCCAAUUACGACAUUAUUGUUAUCUCUACAUUGCCUCUGGUUCCAACAUCUAUAAGCUUCAGGUUUAUUCUUACGUAACUUCCUUUUGUUAAUUUUCAAUUUUUUAACCCAUUUUUUUGUUAUUGAUUAUGUUAUAGAUAGUAGCAUGUUGUUUUUUUGGUGUUACUCUGUAAUCCAAUUUGAUUAGGUGAAACUUGUUAACCACUUGAGCCCAGUCACUUUGAUUAGUAGCAUGUUGUUUAAUCUGACUGUUAAAAGUCUCACAUCAGUUAAGAGAUGACCUGACAAUGUGUUUAUAUAAGUAGGGGGCAAUCAUCACCUUACGAGCUGAUUUUGUGGGGUUGUGUUAGGUCUAACCACGAUUUCUAAUAUGACAUCAGAGCCUCCUCCAUGAUCUGUUGGGCCACUUGUUAUUAGUUUUCUGUUAUCUAGCCACCCUCCAUUUAUGUCCGCACUCCAGAUGUCCAGUCCUGGGCGUAAGAGUGUUUGUUAAAGAAUCUCACAUCGGAUAAGAGAUGGUCUGACAAUGUUUUCAUAAUUUAUUUUAUAAUUUUGUGUAAAAUCAAUUGUCAUUAUUACAAAGUUGUAACCAAGUGAUUGAGGAAGAAUUGUUUGGGAGAACCAGAAUUCAAAUUUCAGCCGAAACAAUACUUCGCCUAAGAAAUGGAGGGUUAAGAUUAAAACAAUGCAAUACAAAGUUGUGAACUUUGGAAUGAAUCGAUAUCGAAAUUGGAAAAACAUCUUUUAGUGUCUUUUUAGUUGGUUAUUUUGCUCUUUGGAUGUGUUUUUUGUUAGUAAAUUUCAUCUAUAAAAUUACAAACAAAAGAGUGAAUUGGGAUAUCUUUUGCACUUUUGAUACAUUCAGAGAUUAUAACGAUAGAGCCUCACAUAUUUACGUGAAUGAUAAUACAUUCAGAGACUAUGAUUAUAGUGCCUCAUGCAUUUACAAACAAAAGAGAGACUUGGGAUGUGUGAGACUUGGGAUGUAUUUGCAACUGAAUAAGUUUAAUUGUUUGUUGAUAGGAUUUUUAAAUAAAAUUUAUUGAAAGAUAGUGUUCAGAGAAGUUACAUUGAAAAGAUAACCUAAUGAAUGAACAAACUGUAAUCAUUAUCUUCCCCUGCCCCCGUAAUUUCAGCUUUGCCACUAACUCAUUUCCUUCCAAUAUUACUCUGACCCCAUCCCUGGAAACAGCCUCUGCGUACAAUACACAAAAAAUGGUGGGACCCCUUCCCAGACCCUGCGUAUGUGGGAGCUUUAGUGCACCGGGUUGCCCUUUUAAUACUCUGACCCCCCUCCCGCUUAGGACUGAACAUUCAGAGUGUGGGCAAGUGCUUGUGGAAUAAUAAUAUAUUUAGUAUAGACUGGGCAUGGGACACAAGUCCUUGGUUUGGAACCUCUUAAGUUUAGAGUGUAACUCAACUUACAAAACCGACAUAUAAACUGAGGACUGUCCACAUUAUAUAAACACUACCUAGGCAUAUCUCUGUCGAUGUGGGAUUCUCAACACUUUCCUCAUGUUUUUUUUUUUUUUGAACAAUCACUUUCCUCAUGCUUAGGACUGUACAUUUGAAGCGUAGACUAAUACGGGAGGAAUAACAGGGAUUCCACAGUUACUCAUUCUUAGAUCUAUAAUAGAAAUUAUAGAAUCAACUGUCCUAUCAUUUGUUGUGUGAUUAUCUCUUUUGAUUUAGAAAACAAAAACAUCACUUUGCUGGUUUAUUUUGAUUUGUUCUACAGAUAAUGAUUUCCGUUUACUAACUAUAAUUUAUAUUUACUCUCUAGAUUGCACUUCAAGGAACUUCAGUUUCCAAAGGAAAAGAUAGUCUCUUAAUACCUUUGUCCACUGAGGUAUAUAGUAUUUAUUUUUAUUUUUUUUGAAGAAUGAGGUAUAUAGUCUUGUAAAGACAAUAAACAUGUUUGAUUCUCUGCUUAUUAUGCUAAAUGAUACAUCAGAGUUUUAGUAAGUUUGGUUUUUUUAUCAUGGUUACUUGUAGGUUAUUGACCCUUCGCGAGUCAAACGCUGUCCCCAUCGCUCAGAAAUUCAGAGUAUUGUUCUUGCUGAUGCAGAGAGUAUGUAAUUUUGCGUCAUGAAUUUUCUUUUAAUUUUUUGUUUAGCCACUUUAAAUUAAAAUGUUUGAUGUUUCUGCUGUAAUGAUGUUUAUGAAUAGAUCAAUUUUAAUAUUUUUCGCUUGUGAUGCUUUCUAGGCCUUGGCUACUACCUGUUGGGAAGUGUGGAUUCAUACGGUCAUCUUAUUGUAUCAAAGCUUGAUGCGUCUGGUAGAGGUAAUAUUUUUUGUUUUUACCUGAUUUAACCCUCAUUUUACUCUCUUCAUCUUCAUCCCUUUGGCAAACUAUUGCUUGAGCUCGUAUGUUUUGGCAACUAACACUUUGAGAAAUCUCCUAAUACUUGUCAAAGGAUUCUUCCCUACACUUUUAUCACAACAAAAACAAAAAUGUCCUAUUUUAAAAUAUAAUUGUGUCAAAAAAUAAACUGCAGUUUUGAUAUUCAUUUUCUUAGUGAGUUCUUUGAGAAAUUGUGCCUUCCAAUUAGAAAAAACAUGUUCAGAAUUGUCUACCAGAAUGUAACCUGAUUCACACGUGGUCGUUGGAUAAGGCAAAGUGGCAGCAGCUAAUCAUUUAUCUGAAAUUCUACAUUGGUCAACUCAUCUGGCUGUUUUGUCCGUUCUUGUUUUGAAGGAAAGAAGAGUUUCAUUGAAAUAUAUUAAGAUUCAUAGAAAAAGACGAGAGGAUCGGAGGUCCUCCUUAGAAAAACAAAAAUACAACCAAAAGAGAAGAAAAGCGAACAAUGAAGCAAAGCUAUCCAGUUCCUUGCCAUAAAGAGACUGUAAACUUAGCCUAAGUAGAAAUCAAAUGACUUGCCUUAUUACGUAGAAGCUUAAGAUAAAAAUUAUGAUAAUUAAACUCUAACCUUGUGCACCAAAAUUUAGCACAUGCAGCUUCGUCAUAAAAAACUAUUCCAAGGACCUAGAGCACACUGAACUCUUGAAAAUGCCAAACAAUGAAUUCCAUAAACAUAAUGAUACAGAAAAUUGCAUAGUUGCAUCUGUGCUUUCACCUAACAAGUCAAACAUAAAGAUGUUGGAAAUCGAACCAAAAUUAGGAAUCAUCUAUAUCUCCAAAAAUUUAACAUGAGAAAGCCAUUAUAUAUUUAGCAUCCCAGUUCUUUUGGUCUAAGCCGUGCAGACUCACAAAAGCGAUAUUUUUGUAUAUCAAUUUUCCAACACCUUAACCCAGUGUUGUAUUUCAUAUCAUAUCUGUAGCACCUGAACAAAUCUAAUUUGUCGCAUUAAUCUGAACUCUAGCUUUUUUCUGCUGAGAUUUUAAAUACAGCAUGAAAUGAUAUCACUGACUAACUUCAGUUCAAUGUAUUUCCACAAAUUUGCAGGCAUUGACAUGCUUACGUAUUCAGCAUUGCCGCCUGAUAAUGGUAUUGGGGAAGGAAGUUGGGCAGGACUCAGCUUUAGCCCAUAUCAAAUUUCUAUGGUGAGCUCUUUCAGUACCAUUAAUGUUGGUUCCCUCUACACAUGUAAUUUUCAUGUUAAAACAUGUAAAAAAUUUCUGGAAAAGCUAUAUUUUCUGUCAUUUAAAUCUUACGUUGAUAAUUCACUGUUGAAACUUCAAUACAAGCAUAGUGAAUCUUAAUUUUUAGAUUUUGGUCUUAUAAGAAAAUCAAUAAAAAAAACAGUAGAAGCUGUGUCACAGACCAGAACUUCAGUUCGUCAUGCUUUCUCAAUAAAUCUAGUAUCACCGUCUUUUCAAUUUAAAGAAGACAAACGGAGAAACUACUUGUCUCCAUCUUAGAUCUUAUUGAUUUCUCACUAUUUCAUGUAUGGGUUUUGCCUAAUUGUGUUGAGUGGUUCCUUUACCCAGGCAGCUGUUGCUCGUGGCUUUUGCAAAACUAUUGAUAUUUUUGACCAGGACAUGCAUGUUCGCAGAUUACGACCGUAAGUGAUUUUAUUUAUCUAUUUGCGUUAAAUUAUAGGCAAUUGAAAAUUUGCAUCUAUCUUUGUUUAUCUCUCUGUCAUUCAUUCUUAUUCUGAUUUUUAUCGUGUGAUUGUUGUGAUUUUUUAUGACAAGCACCUUUGAAUCAUCAUCCUUGAUACUUGUACACAAAAUAAUUACAUAAACAAAUUUAAGUAUAAGUUUAUUUUACAUUUACAAUAAUGAUAAUUGAGAAGACUUUAAACUGAAUACUUGAUUGUAUAAUGUUUGUUGAUUUAGCAUGAGACAAUGUAGUUUGUACAAAUAUAUGCAUAGAGAAUCUAAUGAAUAGACCCUAAGACCUGGUGAUCACGAGUUCAAAUCCUAGAAACAACCUUUUUGACGUUUGGGGUAAGGCUGCAUACGCUUACCCUCCAAAAGUCACACUUAGUACGAGACUCAUGCACUGAACUUCCAUUUACUGACUUUUAUAUAAUGGAAGUUUGAAUUCUUAUUCCUGUUUAUUCAUUUUGACUUUCCAGGAACAUAAAUUAUUUGAUACUCUUUAAAUUUUGUGAACCUAUGCACCAAAAGCAGAAGUAAUAAUGUCUGAUAAGUUCCUUAUCUGUUUACAUUUUUAUGCAAGCAUUCUUCUUGGUUAAUUUAAAGGGGGAGCCUUGGCACAACGGUAAAGUUGUUGUCACGUGAGUGAAAGGUCACAGGUUCAAGUCUUGAAAACAGCCUCUUGUGUUAAAAACAGGGCAAGGCUGCAUACAAUACACCUAAACGAUGGGACCCCUUUCCGGACCCUCUGUGUGUGGGAGCUUUAGUGCAUCGGGCUGCCCUUUAUUCUUCUUAGUUAAUUUGUCAUCUUGCAGGCUCUGGGACCCUACUUCAGUAAGCUUUGUGCAAAAUGUUGUAAAUGGAGAUCGAAGUUCUCUGUUAGCUAUUACUGAAGGAAGCCAGGUAAUUUUUUAGAUUUAUAGUGAUAAAUUAUAAAAGCAUAGAGACACCAUUUGGUAUUGUGUCUACUUUUUAGAAAUCUUGUUCGACACAACAUAUGUCUGUCCUACAUGUGUGCCGUGUCACAUAUUGUUUCAACGCUUGUACUUCAUAGGUUAUAAUGGAUUCUGCUUUGUGCUUCCUCAUCUGUUUUUCAAUUGCAGCUUACUAUGUGGGACUUGAGAGUGAAAGAAAAUGGUGGUUGUGUACAUCGGAUUAGUGGUACCCCUGGUGAUACUUUAUAUUCUGUUUGCAGUUCUUCCACUGGUAAUAUUGCCGUUGGUGGGGUUGAUCGUACUGUGACUAUUUAUGAUCCUCGCAGGUUAGCUUCCAUCAUCAUUUCAUGAAUAACACUUCAAAAGUAAUGGCUGCAAUCAUGACUUGUCAUUAUUUUUUGUGAAUCUGUAUACAUAUUUAACCUAUAUGCCUAUGACUAGUUUGUAUAUAUUUUCUUAAUUGUUUUUCAAUUUACUUUUACAUUUUCCUAACUAUGCUUUAUAAAUCACUUCAUAUAGAUGGUCGUCAUUGUCUAGAUGGGUGCAUUGUUCAAAAUUUGAGGUCAGUUUUUACCUUUUAAAACUGCACUCAUCCUUGAUCUUCCUACUCAACUUUGAUUACUGCUUUUGAUGAUUUUUCUUAAAGAAUGUAUAUUGCAGUUUUAAUUUUAUCUUCAUUCUCAUUUGGUUACUUUAAUUUUACUUGAUGUUCAAAUAUAUAAACAGAGUGUAGUAAAUGAUCCCUAGAGUUGAGGUAUUGAAAUUCGACAUGUAUUUAAUCAAGGAAACUGAUGGAAACCAUAAAAUCAUUAGUGAAAUAUGUGUAUUAUUCAAUGAAAAAGAUAGGAAUGACACCAUUAGGGAGAGAGUGGGGGUAGCACCUAUAGUAGAAAAGUUGGUAGAAAAUAGGCUUACAUGGUUUGGGCAUGUACCCAUAGAUGCCGUCGUAAGAAGAGUAGAUCAGAUGGAGGAGAGUAAGGUCAAAAGAGGUAGAUGAAGACCUAGGAAAACUAUAAGAGAAACCAUUAGAAAGGAUUUAGACGUCAAUGAGUUAGAUCCAAAUAUGGUUUAUGAUAGAACACUAUGGCGUAAUUUGAUCCAUGUAGCCGACCCCACUUAGUGGGAUAAGGCUUGGUUGUUGUUGUUGUAUUGAAUGAAAAAGAUGAGCUCAGCCUCAGAGGCUCUACAAUGGUGGAAUAGUAGAAAAGAAAGAGAUAAACCAGAGUGGGAACACUCCUACCAGAGCUAGGCUCCUAGACUAGAGAGACUGCUAACGAACUCUCAACAAUUUAUCUGAAGGACUUACUCACUACAUUUCCCUCCCUUUUAUAACGGAAUAUUCCCUAAAAUCAAUGAAAGUGCUAACCUACUCUUAUUCCCUAUUCAUCUCCGAUCAUAUAUAAUGUGCCUUGGUGUUGAAUCUGAAACUAUAAAACUUACUUACGGAUUAUAAUCCUCAGUAUGCUUCAGUUGAUUUCCUCUGUUUAAAUAGAAAAGCAUUAUUUUUGCAUGUUUACUAUUGCUUCUAUUUAUGAAUGUAAUUGACUGUGCUUUCAUGAGUACUGCAGAUAACAGGGCUAGCAUUCUCAACAGUUGAUCCUGACUAUAUCUAUAUUCAAGGGGUUGAUUAUGAGGUAAUUCUAUUAUGAAAAAUUUUGCUGACCAAUUUAUAACUUUUAUGUUCAAUAAUAUAGCGCGGCAUAAGAAAAUAUAGGAUGAGUGUGAAAUCUACAAAGGAAUUUAUCUUUUAUGACCAAGUGGUCUAGAGUUAAGAACAUAUUUGAACACAAGAUAUGUCGGCUUAUGUAUUAUCCGUGUUUCACGAUCAAAGGGACUUUUGCACUAGGUAGCAUGUUAGUAUUAUAAUACGUUAACCAUUUUUGUUUUCAUCUAACCGAUUAAGCUUUUUUCUUAUAGUUGUUUCAUAAAGUUUUCUUCAAAUCGCCACUGAUAAAUGUUUUAAUGGGUCUGUGAAAUUGUACAAUCUGCAUGUUCAAAAUUUAAAAAUACAAUUUUUUAAAUGACAAGUAUGCAUGCAUUACAUAUCAUAAAAAUCUAAUACACAUUUGAGGAGAUUAAGAUGAGUGAUAAAUGCUAGUUUUAUUCCUUAGCAAAAAUCCUUUUUAGAUUAUAUUUCUGGUUUAUAUUCAUGUAUAUACUUAUAAUCUUUCUACAAUUUUGUGUAACGAAUUCAGGUCUUUUGCGGACAAUGGAAAGAACGCAACAAGUUAUUUUCAUUUAGAGGAGACUCAAACUGGCUUGGCUUUAGUAAGGUACUGUAUUUCAAAGCUCAUAUGUAGAUUUCAUAUGUGUAUACAUUUGGGUUUGUUAUUCUAUGAAAAGGCUUCUCAUGCGUAUAAUACACCAAUAAUGGUGGGACCCCUUCCCGGACCCCGCAUAUGCGGGAGCUUUAGUGCACCGGGUUGCCCUUUUUUUAUUAAUGAAAAGGCUUCGUCUCAUUCUUCUCAUGCUUUUGAUUAUCAUCAUUAUAUUUGUUUAAUUUGCAUAUUUCAGGCCUGUUUGUACCCUGUUCAUAACUUGUUAAUAUUGAACUGAAUCUUGCUUUUGUAUCUAUUUUCCCUGCUUUCUUCUGCUCCGUCUGUCCCAAAAUAUAUGUUACCUCAGCGCAUGGCACACGAAUUAAAAAAUGCAGUUAAUUUCGUAUGAGAAUGAGAAAUUAUAACUUAGUUUACAAAGUUACCCUUCAUUAAUGCUAUGGGAAAGAUAAGUCCAAUUAUGUAACUUCACAGCAUCUUCAGCAUUUAGGAAAGUCUGUAGUAGGCAUGAUUUGUAAAUCUUUGCUCCCCAAAUACUAGAUAGUGGUUUUCUUAAUCGUACAUUCUUUAGUUAAACUAUUGAUAUUUUGAAUUCUUUGAGGAUCGUGGUUCUUUCAUUAGUGUUAAAUAAUGUCAAACUUAGGCACAACACUGCCACUCACAUUUGUUGUUUUACCAGGCACAUAAAUAACCUUGGCAGAAUUCUAUUUUCUAUUUUUGGAGCUUUUUCUAUACUUAUUUUUAACAUUUGUUGGCUCAAACUUGUGUACUUCUGUUUAAUAUUACUGUAUUCUACUUUGCAGUGCUCCAACAAAGAUGUUUUAGGUGGAUGGUGUGAUUCGGGCAGCAUAUUUGUAGUUGAUGUUGCUUAAGUGAUAUUGACAGACAUAUUGGUCUGUCCGGUAAUGAUUCCAACUAUGUAUAUUUUUCGUUGGUUCAGUAUAUUUAACCAUGGUAGAGUCCAUGUUUGAUAGGAAAAAGAAAAUCAAUGUGUUUAUUGUGCCAAAUGUUAUAAUGCAUUUCUAGUUCCUAUUCUGACAUUACUGAAUGCAUUCAUUUUGUGCUUUUUCAAUGUUGUAAUGUUUUAGUGAGAAAGGUUUAAUGUCCAUUUCAAGUUCCUAUUUUGACAUUUCAAUUAUUUAAGUAUCAAGUGUAUUUUAUGGUUUUCAAACAAGACCGGACCAUUAUUGCUAUAUAAAUUAAACAUGUUUAUGUUAUCAUUUAAGAGAUCCGUGCAGAAGGCCACGGCCUCAUCUUGACAUUGUUGUACCUCGUUUUGAGGUGAAUGAUCGAUAGUACCGCACCCCAAAGAUGCCAAGGUUGGUCUCCCAAGAAUGCAGCUGGGAUACAAACUUAUGACUAGAAAGUGGACACUCGUUGUUCUUUGGGAGUUCUCUUCAUCGAACUUACUGUUAGUUCAAUAGCCCCUAGGGGUGGGUUAUUCAACCAUCAACCCAAGUUUCAUGAACUGUUGUUCAUACAUAAUGACAAAUGAGCUCCCUUUGUCAACCAAGGUUCAGGAGACUUCAGGGCCGACCAUUGCAGCUAUGAUAACAAGAGGAUAGAUCUGUCACCGCCUACCAUUUUGUCAUUGUCGACCCUAGGGUAGGACUCUCAUGUCUCAGUCUCCGCCCUGACUCCCUAUUUAAAUCAACUACGAGCAUAUCAACGAUCUUCCUCUUCGCCGCCUCUUUCAGAGGAGUUUUGGGAAGAGGAAGUCCUCUUGUUAUGGAUCCUACUGAGAGACAUUCCUCUUGUGGAAUCACAUGUUUUGUAGAAGAGGAGCGACAACAACAAUUUGUUUGUGAUCUAGCGAAAGAGUGAUGGUGGUGCUUUCUCCAGGAGUAGGAGAAAGAAUUUUGUUCCUGUUAUCUUUAAGCGCAGGGGAGAGAAUAAGAGCCAUAUAAUCCCGCAAGAUUUUUGCCGCAAAAUGGGGAUUUGUGUAGGUAUUCUCGAAGCAGACAAAAUCAGUUCCAGUCAUCGGAAAGUGAUUUGCAUGGCAACAUAACUCAAACAUGAUUCAAUUACGAUAUAUGUGUUGUGGUGGACCAAUACAGUGGACGAGACACAUAGACGGGUUUUCGAUGAUAGUUACAAUGAUGGACUACUGCAGGUGCCGAUUCUUUUACUUUUACCAAAGUUCCGCUCAUCCCAUGCGAGAAACUAGCCGGAACAGCCAACUACAACAUAUGGGCUGGUGCCGUCAGACUCUGGUUUCACGGUCAAGGUCUUGAAGAUCACUUGACCAAACAAGCCAAAGAUAUUGCCACUAUAUAUUGCACAAAAUGGAAGCAGGUCGAUGCAUCCCUAUGCAACGUUCUAUGGUUUUCAAUAACACCCCAUCUCCAAGCACAGUACCAAGCUUUCACCACUUGCUAUGAAGCGUGGGAAAAGGUUAAGAAAGUCUUCUCCAAUGAUGUUCACCGUCUCUACAGCGUUGUUAAUAGCCUCAAUUCUUUAAAAUUGGAGAAUAUGGAUGUUCAAGCUUAUCUUAGUAAGCUUGAUUCUUUAAAGGCUAAUUUUCAAACUUUAAUGCCUUUUAUUAGUGAUGCAACAAAUCAUGCCGAACAACGCAGCAAGUUUUUCAUGGUCAUGGUUCUUGUUGGACUGCCACCAGAACUUGAUUCUGUGCGCAACCAAAUUUUAUCCGGUUCUACUGUUCCUGAUUAUGAGACAGUUAGCGAACAAUUGUUGCGGUUGGCCACACCUCAUGCUUUUGGUCAUGUCUCCACUCCAUCUCCUAAUGAUUCAUCUGCUCUUGCCUCCCACUACAAUGGUCGUGGUGGACGGAACGCAGGACGCAGUGGACACGGUAGUCGUAGUAGUGUUCGUUGUAACUAUUGCAACCGCUACAGCCAUAUUAAAGCUGAUUGUCAUACAAAAGCAAGAGAACAACAACAACAACCUAGAGUUGCUGCCGUAGCUCAACCUACUACCGUUAGAGAUGUUACUAUUCCGGCUGCUGAUUACAAUGAGUUCCUUUAGUUCAAAGCAGCCCAUCAACCAUCAUCUUCUACAAUUAUUGCUCAGUCUGGUAAUCCUAAUCUUGUAGCCUUUAUCUCCACACCGUCCUCCCUUGGUCCUUGGGUAAUUCACUCUGGUGCCUCUAAUCAUAUGAUCGGUAAUAAAUCUCUUUUAUCUCAUUUGUCUUACUUUGAUUCUUUGCCUCUUGUCAUUGUGGCGAAUGGUUCCAAAAUCAAAGUUCAAGGCCUUAAUCAGGCCCACCCACUUCCAAACUUGUCCUUAGAUUCUAUUAUCUAUACUCCCGGCUGUCCUUCCAAGCUUACUCUCACCACCGGUGGCAUGUCCUUUUGUUUCCUCUCAAAGGCUUACACAUCAGCGCUUGGGUCAUCCUAGCCUUAAUAAAAUGCGUCUUUUAGUUCCUAGUUUUUCCAAGCUUUCGUCAUUUGAGUGUCAAUCGUGUCAGUUAGGUAAACAUACUCGUCACACCUACAGCGAACGAGUAAAUAAAAGUGUUGCAUCACCUUUUGCUUUAGUUCAUUCAGAUGUUUGGGGUCCUAGUCGUGUUGAGUCAACUUUAGGUUACUCUUACUUUGUAACGUUUAUUGAUGAUUUUUCACGAUGUACUUGGGUAUUCUUAAUGAAAAAUUGUUCAGAAGUUUUCCAUAUAUUCAAAGAAUUUUAUGCAGAAGUUAAAAAUCAAUUUGACACUUCCAUUAAAGUUUUACGCACCGAUAAUGCUCGUGAAUAUUUGUCAUCACAAUUUCAAACCUUUUUAACUUCAAAGGGGAUUAUUCAUCAAUCAUCGUGUGCUCACACACCGCAACAAAACGGUGUCGCUGAACGUAAAAAUCGUCAUUUAGUUUAAGCCGCAAGAACCCUUUUACUUCACCACAAUGUUCCUUUCCAUUUUUGGGGGUGAUACCCUUGUCACAGCUUGUCACCUAAUUAACCGAAUGCCCUCAUCUAUCCUUCAAGAUCAAAUUCCGUACUCUAUCUUGAACUCACAUCAUGAACUAUCCCCAAUCCCUCUUCGUGUCUUUGGUUGCACAUGCUCUGCUCAUGACCUCGCUCCAGGCAAAGACAAACUUUCAGCCAAAUCUCUCAAAUGUAUAUUUUUAGGCUAUCACGUAUACAAAAAGGUUAUCGUUGUUUUUGUCCUCAACUUAAAGUUUCUUCACAGUCAAUGCCAACCUGUUGACAUGCAACAUCACUAGCAUCUUAAAAGUACCGAUAAAUUUUUCUUUAUGUCUAAAAGUCCACAUGGACCAAAUAUCAUUAGCAUCAGAUAGUCAUAGUACUAAGUCCCACGUCUCAUUUUUAAUUAGAGCAUUAUAUUCAUCAUUCAUGGCCAUUUUUCAACUUUGAUCUUUAAGUGCUGACACAAGGUUCAUAGGUAGAGAGGAUUUUAUAAUAAGGUUUGAAAAGUUUGGAAAAUAAUGUGGACUAGCAUGAUAUGAAUUCAUGUUACUUACAUUGGAGUUCUCCUCUAGUUCAUUAUCAUAUUACUUAUGUUAGAGUUUUAUUUGCAUGAAUUCAUGUUGAGGCUCAAAGACAAUUUAACUUGAUGACAAAGAGAUAGGGGUUGGCAAAAAGAACCACGAACCGAAUAAAAAAUAACCGAACCAUUAUAAUUGUUCAUGAACCGAACCGUUAAUUUAUUAACAGUUCUUGAACCGAACCGAACUCUUUGUUGGAUCUUUCCAAAAAAACCACUUGAACUCUUUGUUGGAUCUUUCCAAAAAAACAACUUAUUUAAAAUAGCUUAUUUUAAAAAACAACUUAUUCAAAACAGCUUAUUUUAUGAAAACAUCUUAUUUUAAAAAAACAGCUUAUUCAAAACAGCUUAUUUGAAAAACAGCUUAUUCAAAACAGCUAAUUUUAUGCAAAACAUCUUAUUCAAAACAACUUAUUUUAAAAAAAAAAACAGCUUAUUCAAAACAGCUUAUUUGAAAAAUAGCUUAUUCAAAACAACUAAUUUUAUGCAAAAUAGCUUAUUUUAUGCAAAACACCUUAUUUAAAAAAACAGCUUAUUUUAAAAAAAAACUUAUUUAAUGUGAUCCUUCUUUGUCUCCCAUGUGCCGUCCUUCUUUUUUUUUUUUUUUUGGUAGAUAAAAAAUUGUGCCGUCCUUCUUUGUCUGUUCGUUCAAUUGACUUGACUUUGAAAGAUAUUUUCUUUAAUUUGCUCUUGCCACACCAGUAUUUAAAUGCAUUUUCCCACAUAAUAAUUAUAGAACACAAACAAAAUUAAAUAGCAUAAACCACUUUCUUCUAAACCAAAAUGAAGUCUUUUUCUUUGUUGUCACCUACACUUUUAUACCUUCAUCCCCUUUUUAUGCUUACCUUAAAUUUAAUGUGGUUUGGUCCAAACAAAAUUAGGGCAUUGGCUGCAAUAGGAAACCAAACUGAUCAUUUGGCAUUGCUCAAAUUCAAAGAAUCAAUUUCCAGUGACCCAUACAAUGCUCUUGAAUCUUGGAAUUCUUCCAUCCAUUUCUGCAAGUGGCAUGGAAUCACAUGCAGCCCCAUGCAUGAACGAGUUACAGAGUUGAGCCUAAAAAGAUAUCAGUUACAUGGAUCUUUAUCUCCCCAUGUUUGCAAUCUCACUUUUCUGGAAACUCUCGACAUUGGAGACAACAACUUCUUUGGAGAAAUUCCUCAGGAUUUGGGUCAGUUGCUACAUUUGCAACACCUUAUUCUCACCAAUAAUUCUUUUGUAGGUGAGAUUCCUACAAACCUGACAUAUUGCUCCAAUCUCAAGUUAUUGUAUUUGAAUGGGAACCAUCUCAUUGGUAAAAUACCAACUGAAUUCGGCUCUUUGAAAAAGCUUCAAUCAAUGUUUGUUCGGAAUAACAAUUUAACCGGAGGAAUCCCUUCAUUCAUUGGAAAUCUUUCAAGCUUAACACGUCUGUCAGUUUCUGAAAACAAUUUUGAGGGAGAUAUUCCACAAGAAAUAUGUUUCCUCAAACACUUGACAUAUUUAGGUUUGAGUGUCAACAAUUUGUCCGGUAAGAUUCCUUCUUGUCUUUAUAAUAUCUCAUCACUUAUUACACUUUCGGCAACACAAAAUAACUUGCAUGGCUCUUUUCCACCCAACAUGUUCCACACCCUCCCCAAUCUUAAAUUUUUACAUUUUGGAGGAAAUCAAUUCUCUGGUCCAAUUCCUAUUUCGAUUGCUAAUGCUUCUACCCUACAAAUAUUAGACUUAUCAGAAAACAUGAAUUUGGUUGGACAAGUUCCAAGUCUAGGGAAUUUACAAAAUCUUUCCAUUCUAAGUUUGGGAUUCAACAAUUUAGGUAACAUUUCAACUAUGGAUUUUAGAUUUUUUAAAAUAUUUGACAAAUUGCAGUAAACUAAAUGUGCUUUCGAUAGCUGGAAAUAAUUUUUGGUGGUCAACUGCCAAAUUCCAUAGGCAAUUUUUCCACUGAACUUCAACAACUAUUUAUGGGGGGUAAUCAGAUAUCAGGAAAAAUUCCUGCAGAAUUAGGAUAUCUAGUUGGCUUAAUUCUCUUGACCAUGGAGUCUAACUACUUUGAAGGAAUUAUUCCAACUACUUUUGGGAAGUUCCAAAAGAUGCAGCUAUUACGUUUGAGGAAAAACAAGUUGUCAGGAGAUAUUCCACCCUUCAUAGGCAAUCUCAGUCAGUUGUUUAAAUUACAAUUAAAUCAUAAUAUGUUUCAAGGAAGUAUUCCUCCAAGCAUUGGAAACUGUCUACAUUUACAAUAUCUAGAUCUUUCUCAUAAUAAGCUUAGAGGAACCAUACCUGCAGAGGUUUUAAAUCUUUUUUCUUUAUCAAUGUUAUUGAACUUGUCACAUAACUCUUUGAGCGGUACUUUACCAAGAGAAGUGGGUAUGUUAAAAAAUAUUAAAGGAUUAGAUGUCUCUGGGAAUCAUCUAUCUGGUGAUAUUCCGAUAGAAAUUGGUGAAUGUACAAGCAUAGAAUAUAUUCUUUUGCAAAGGAACUCCUUCAACGGAACAAUACCGUCCUCUUUGGCUUCUCUUAAAGGUCUUCAAUAUUUAGACUUUUCAAGAAAUCAAUUGUCUGGAUCAAUUCCUGAUGGUAUGCAAAAUAUCUCAUUUUUGGAAUAUUUUAAUGUUUCUUUUAACAUGUUGGAAGGAGAGGUACCGACAAAUGGUGUAUUUGGAAAUGCAACGCAAAUAGAAGUGAUUGGAAACAAAAAGCUCUGUGGAGGUAUUUCCCACCUGCAUCUACCACCGUGCCCUAUCAAGGGUAGGAAACAUGUAAAACAACACAAGUUCAGGUUGAUAGCAGUGAUAGUUAGUGUGGUUUCUUUUAUUCUCAUACUUUCAUUUAUCAUAACUAUCUACAUGAUGAGUAAAAUAAAUCAAAAGAGAUCUUUUGAUUCACCAGCAAUUGAUCAACUAGCUAAGGUUUCGUACCAAGAAUUACACGUAGGAACCGAUGGAUUCUCAGAUAGAAACUUGAUCGGAUCAGGAAGUUUUGGUUCCGUAUACAGAGGAAAUAUAGUUUCAGAAGAUAAUGUUGUUGCAGUAAAGGUCUUGAAUCUGCAAAAAAAGGGUGCUCACAAGAGUUUCAUUUUAGAAUGUAAUGCACUCAAAAACAUUCGACACCGAAAUUUGGUUAAGGUUUUAACAUGUUGUUCUAGCACAAAUUACAAAGGUCAAGAAUUUAAAGCUCUAGUUUUUGAAUACAUGAAAAAUGGAAGCUUAGAACAAUGGUUACAUCCCGAGACUUUGAAUGCAAAUCCUCCAACAACAUUGAACCUUGGUCAUAGAUUAAACAUCAUCAUCGAUGUUGCUUCUGCAUUACAUUAUCUUCAUCGAGAAUGUGAGCAAUUAGUCUUUCAUUGUGAUAUAAAGCCAAGCAAUGUCCUUCUUGAUGAUGACAUGGUUGCUCAUGUGAGUGAUUUUGGCAUAGCAAGACUUGUCUCAACAAUUUCUGGUACCUCUCAUAAGAAUACUAGCACAAUUGGAAUAAAAGGAACAGUUGGUUAUGCUCCUCCGGGUAUGUUUUAAAUUCUUGAAUCUUCCAUUGUUUUUUUGAAUCUUCAUAUGUUUCGGCGUAGUUAUAUAUAAUACCUUUUGUUACAUAUUUUAGAGUAUGGGAUGGGUUCAGAAGUAUCCACUUGUGGUGACAUGUAUAGCUUUGGAAUCCUUAUGCUGGAAAUGCUUACUGGUAGAAGACCCACUGAUGAACUUUUUGAAGAUGGUCAAAAUCUGCAUAACUUUGUUACAAUUUCAUUUCCUGAUAAUCUUAUAAAGAUUUUGGAUCCACAUCUUUUACCAAGAGCUGAAGAAUUAGGAGCAAUAGAAGAUGGAAAUCAUGAGAUUCAUAUUCCAACUAUAGAAGAGUGCUUAGUUUCACUUCUUAGGAUUGCACUUUUAUGUUCUUUGGAAUCACCAAAAGAAAGAAUGAAUAUUGUGGAUGUCACUAGAGAGCUUACCACAAUCCAGAAGGUCUUUCUAGCUGGUGAGAUGAACUGAUAUUCUUAUAUGUUUAUAGCUUAUGGAAUUAGAAUUUUAUUUUUAUCAUCUUGUUGUGCAUUUCAAUUAAAUGACCUUCUUGAUUUUAAUUUCAGGUCUUGAACAAAAUUUCUAAGUCGUUUGUGCAAAGAGAAAAUGGUUAAGAAAAUGAAUGGUCCGCUGGAAUCACAUGCGGCAAUGCUUAGUUUACUAGUUUGUUAUUCUCUAAAUGCUUUGUGUUCAACGUAUAUUUGUUUGCAACAUAAUAGUUGUUAUAAAUAAAGAAUGUUUUCUGUAUUGCUUUCUAAUUAAAUGAAGUGAGAAUUGAUAAUUCUCCCAUAUUUAUCUUCAUUCUCAUAUGAAUUGUCAUUGUAGUUAAUUCAAUGGGUGUCGAUUUAAUCAAAUCUUUAUUAUAAUAUGUGUUCAUAAACUUUGUUUGCCCAAAUAAAAGAACAAACAUUUCAUUGUGAAAUGAUUUUACUUCUUAGUGUAUUACUACAUAUGAAUGAUCAGUUACUUCCUAGGCAGUUAGAAUCAAACUUAAUUUUAAACUCAAAAUCAAUCAUGUUAAUCAUAAGAAAUAAUAAAUCAAUAUGCGUAAGCAUAUCUGAAUUCAUGAUCAGAUAUCAUUGACGUGAUAUGUCAUUCUAGAUCCAUACACAUUCUCAGUGAGAGAACUCUUUGUUAUUCUCUUCAUCUCCUUGUGAUGAUGGGAUGUCAACAAGAACGACAACCACUAGAUGUGUGACCUAGGGACCAUGUUCUCCUUUAUUUAUAGAAUCCAAUUAUGGUUAAUUAUUGGUAUUUCUAUUUUAUCCCCUCAUAAAAAUAGAAUGAAAAUUGUUUUUCCCACUUCAAAAAUUGCUCAAACACACCUGAAAAUUAAAUAUGUAAUCCAACGAUAGAUAAUUGCGGUUCGGUCUUUGCAACAGUUGUUAGUUGCCAUUCACUUAAAGCAACGAUGGUUAACUACCGUAUUUUCCUUGCAAUGGUACUUAACAACCGUUGCGCUGGAAACUUACCAAAACCAGCACAACCUACUCCUACCUCACUGUUCAUCAUCACUUUUUUGUCUCUUCCAUCAAACCACUAAAGUGCAAAAAAAAAAAAAAAAAACGACAAUAUUUGUCUCAAAUCAUUGAAGGAGUGUUACAAGGCUUCUACACGCAUUUGACAAUAAGAAACAGUCAAUGCAUCUUUUAACACGUUUACACUUGUAAAUUUUACUGCUAUAUUUUGAAGUUUUUGUGAUAUACUCGCAACAGUAGGUAACUACCGUUUGAAGAUUAACAACUAAUUACCGCUAGUGGAGCAGUAAUUAAUUGUCGUUGCAACAUAGUAGCCACUGCCUUUUUUUCGCAAGCCACGACCUUUUUUAGCAUUUUUUUUUUAUUUUUUUCAUUUGAAUUAAUUAUUAAUUAAAUGUUUUUAAAAAUGUUAUGUGAUGUUGUUUAUUUAUAGUUAUGGUUGAAAAUGCAGAUGAUGAUUCGGUUGAGAAAAAACAUAGUUUUGUCGAUUAUUCUGGCGAGUUCCAACUGCCUAAGGUUGAAGCUUCGGUUGAUGUCCCUAGUUGAAUUUAAUGAAGUUUUCAUGAGUCAAUUCUUUUCAACCGAAGAUACAUGGAAAUAUAGAGAUGACAUGCUUAGAAGUUCCCUUGAUCGAACGUUACCCAGAACUCAAUGACCCUCAGGGAUGGCUUAUUGAACUAUCGACCCAAGUUUCAUGAACAAUUCUUCAUACAUAAUGUCACAAAAGGUCGCUUUGUCAACCAUGAUUCGGGAGACAUUAUGGCCAGCCAUUGCAGAUAUGAUCACCAUAGGAUAGGUCAGGCACUGCCUACCAUUUUGUGGUUGUCGAAUCCUAGGAUAGGUCUCUCAUGUCGCAGGCUCCUCCAUGGCUCCUUAGUUAGAUCAACUACGAGCAUUUCAAUGAUCUUCCUCUCUGCCACCUCUUACGGAUGUGUUUUGUGAAGUGGAAGCCCUCUUGUAAUUGACCCUAUUGAGAGACACUUCCCGUUCAACGUAUGGUGGGUGUGGAAUCACAUAUUUUGUAUAGCAAGAGCGACAACUGUGAAAUGUUUGUGAGAUGGGGAACGAGCAAUGGCGGCGCUUUCUCCGGGAGUAGGAGAAAGGAUUAUGUUCUUGUUAUCUUCCAUCAAAGGAGAGAGAGUAUGAGCCCGCAUAAUCUUGAAAGAUUUGUAUCGCAUAGCAGGGAUAUGUGGCGACAUUCUCAAAGCGAGCGGAAUGAGUUUUAGUCAUCGAAAAGUGAUUUGUGUGGGAACAAAGCUCAAGGAUGAUUUAGUUACGGUACUCGUGUUGCGGUGAACUGGUGCAGUGGAGGAUACGCUCUGAUGAGGUUUCCAAUGACAGUUACGGUGGUGGACGACGAUACCUUCAAAACAGACCCACGCUUUGACACUUCAAAAGGAUUUAUGGGUUAAUAAAUUAUAGGCCGACGACAUGGGUUUCUACCAAGUUCAAAACAUAUUAGGCCAACGACAUAGGUUUCUACCCGGUGUUGCGCCUUGUUAUAUAUUUUAUUGAGUCUCAUGAUCAGUUUCUAAUUUCAAACAUAGUAACAUAAUUUUUUUUUUUUUACUAAAGAGUAAAAAAAAUGUUCUUAAAUCUAUUCCUUUAUUUUUAACAAAUCAAAACACCCUAAAUUUACAAGGCGUUGUAACUCUUUAAAUUAACUGUUUUAAAAAUCGUAAACUAUGUAUUGUAUUAAUAAAGGAAAAAUAUAUUUAAAGAUCAAGAUGUACAAUAAAGACACAUCUAGAAGUUGCAAUAAAAAAAAAAAUGUUUUUGCCUCCAUUUGGGAAUAAUAUAUGGCUAAAUUGUAUUUUUGGUUCUUUAAUUAUUUAGAUAGUAUCGCUUUGGUCCCUUAAUUAAAAUUCAAUUUAUUUUGGUCCCUUAACUUAUCUCCAUUACACAUUUUGGUCAUUUCCGUUAGUUUUAAUUCAAAAACGUUAGGUUUUCUUCAUCAUCUUCUCCUCCCUUUGCUUGGAUUCUUGUUGUUGAAGGUUGAUGAAGAUGAAAAAAAGGAGAAGAAAAUGAAGAAAAUCUAACAUUUUUGAAUUAAAACUAACGGAAAGGACUAAAAUGUAUUACGGAGAGAAGUUAAGGAAUCAAAAUAAUUCGAAUUUUAAUUAAAGGACCAAAGGGAUACUACCUAAAUAAUCUCCGACCACCACAGAAAAAAAAAAUCCUUUUAUGGCCACAUCUAUUUUUAAUUUCAUUCUUGCAACUUCCAUUCUUGAAACAUAUGCAAAAUGUUUAACUAGGAAGUGCACAAAAGAUUUUUAAAAAACAUGAAAAAAAUUUAAAUGAUAUAUUUGUUUAUGAAUUAACAAAAAACUUUAAGAUAAUAAAAUUUAAGAGCAUGAAUUUUCUUCAUUAAGAGAAAAAAUAAAACUUACAUUAAACAACAUGAAAAGAAAAUAUUCCAAUGGCUUCUUACUUUUAUGUUAAACAAACACUAACUUUAAUUAAUUGUUAUUAUAAUAUAAUAUAUAAAUGAUAAAUUUCCUAAAGAGUAAUGCAAUAAAAAAUUAUAAUUCUUCCAUUUCAUUUACAAAGUUAUCCAUUGCAUGGAAAAAAUCUGCUAGCAAUUGAGAUCCUAUCCAACUCAGGCAAUUAGCCUCUGCGGUCCACAUAAAAAAUGUUGGCAUUAUCUUCCAGUUUUCUACCCCAAAAGAAACGAUUGUCAUGUUGAAAUGGUUGUAUUUGUUUUUAUCAUAAAAAUAUCAUCAAUAACGUAUGAAGCAGGACAUGAUUAAUGACCGAUAGUGAUACUUUUAUUAAAAUUAUAUUUUUAUUUAAAACUAAUUUGCCCUUAUUAUUUGAAUUGAUAGCAGCAAAUAUCCUCAAUUUUGACCUAAAAUCAAAUUUUGCACUCAAUUAAUUCUUUUUUUUGUUGGUGGCACGAGUUUGAACUCCGAACCUUGCAUAUAUUAUGCAUUGUUCAUAUCAACUGAGGUAAGCUCACGUGUUCCUCUAUUAAUUUCUUUGUCCCUUCCAAAUUGUUUUUCUUCAUUUUUGGUUAAAUAUAAAUAAGCAAUUUUCACAUCUUUUCAGUUUUUAUGUUUGUUUUUGUGAUUUCAUCAUCUUGUUUGCUCAAUUCUAUUCGUUUUGAUUUUCCGCUUUUGUGCGAUGUGAUGUUUGAUUUUCCAUCUUACUACAGUAUUUAUUUGAUUUGAUUUAGAUUGAAAGAUCAACUUUAAACAAGUGUAUGUUUAAUGAACGACUUUUGCACCAAAAAUUAUGGAAAAGUAUAUAACUCAAAAAUUGGCUCCAAGAGGCCGUGUGCGUCUGUUCCUUCAAUUGACUUGACUUGAACUUUGAAAUAUAUUUUCUGAUUGGAAAAGUUUAUAAAUGCAUGGUCCCUCUCUAUUCCCACAUCAUAACUAUCGAACACAAACAAAACGAAAUAGCAUAAACCACUUUUUCUUCUAAACCAAAAUGAAGCCUUUUUCUUUGUUGUCACCUCCACUUUUAUACCUUCAUCUCCUUUUUCUGCUUACCUUCAAUUUAAUGUGGUUUUGUCCAAUCAAAAUUACGGCAGUGGCUGCAAUAGGAAACCAAACUGAUCAUUUGGCAUUGCUCAAAUUCAAAGAAUCAAUAACUAGUGACCCAUACAAUGCUCUUGAAUCUUGGAAUUCUUCCAUCCAUUUCUGCAAGUGGCAUGGAAUCACAUGCAGCCCCAUGCAUGAACGAGUUACAGAGUUGAGCCUAGAAAGAUAUCAGUUACAUGGAUCUUUAUCUCCCCAUGUUUCCAAUCUCACUUUUCUGAAAAGUGUCGACAUUACAGACAACAACUUCUUUGGAGAAAUUCCUCAGGAUUUGGGUCAGUUGCUACAUUUGCAACAACUUAUUCUCAGCAAUAAUUCUUUUGUAGGUGAGAUUCCUACAAACCUGACAUAUUGCUCCAAUCUCAAGUUAUUGUAUUUGAAUGGGAACCAUCUCAUUGGUAAAAUACCAACUGAAAUCGGCUCUUUGAAAAAGCUUCAAACAAUGAGUGUUUGGAGAAACAAGUUAACCGGUGGAAUCCCUUCAUUCAUAGGAAAUAUUUCAAGCUUAACACGUCUAUCAGUUUCUGGUAACAAUUUUGAGGGAGAUAUUCCACAAGAAAUAUGUUUCCUCAAACACUUGACAUUUUUAGCUUUGGGUGAGAAACAAUUUGUCCGGUAAGAUACCUUCUUGUCUUUAUAAUAUCUCAUCACUUAUUACCCUUGCGGUGGAAGAAAAUAACUUGCAUGGCUCUUUUCCACCCAACAUGUUCCACACCCUCCCCAAUCUUAAAUUAUUACAUUUUGCAUCAAAUCAAUUCUCUGGUCCAAUCCCUAUUUCGAUUGAUAAUGCUUCUGCCCUACAAAUAUUAGACUUAUCAAAAAACAUGAAUUUGGUUGGACAAGUUCCAAGUCUAGGGAAUUUACAAAAUCUUUCCAUUCUAAGUUUGGGAUUCAACAAUUUAGGUAACAUUUCAACUAAGGAUUUAGAGUUUUUAAAAUAUUUGACAAAUUGCAGUAAACUAUACGUGCUUUCAAUAGAUUCUAAUAAUUUUGGAGGACAUUUGCCAAAUUCCAUAGGCAACUUUUCCACUGAACUUAAAUAUUUAUUUAUGGGGGGUAAUCAGAUAUCAGGAAAAAUUCCUGACGAAUUAGGAAAUCUAGUUGGCUUAAUUCUCUUGACCAUGGAGUAUAACUUCUUUGAGGGAAUUAUUCCAACUACUUUUGGAAAGUUCCAAAAGAUGCAGCUUUUAUCUUUGGAUGGAAACAAAUUGUCUGGAGGUAUUCCACCCUUCAUAGGCAAUCUCAGUCAAUUGUUUAAAUUAGUAUUAGAUCAUAAUAUGUUUCAAGGAAUUAUUCCUCCAAGCUUAGGAAACUGUCAAAAUUUACAAUAUCUAGAUCUGUCUCAUAAUAAGCUUAGAGGAACCAUACCUGUAGAGGUUUUAAAUCUGUUUUCUUUAUCAAUCUUAUUGAACUUGUCACAUAACUCUUUGAGCGGUACUUUACCAAGAGAAGUGGGUAUGUUAAAAAAUAUUGCAGAAUUAGAUGUCUCUGAGAAUCAUCUAUCUGGUGAUAUUCCGAGAGAAAUUGGUGAAUGUACAAGCUUAGAAUAUAUUCAUUUGCAAAGGAACUCCUUUAACGGAACAAUACCGUCCUCUUUGGCUUCUCUCAAAGGUCUUCGAUAUUUAGACCUUUCAAGAAAUCAAUUGUCUGGAUCAAUUCCUGAUGGUAUGCAAAAUAUCUCAUUUUUGGAAUAUUUUAAUGUUUCUUUUAACAUGUUGGAAGGAGAGGUACCGACAAAAGGUUUAUUUGGAAAUUCAACCCAAAUAGAAUUGAUUGGAAACAAAAAGCUUUGUGGAGGCAUUUCCCACCUGCAUCUACCACCAUGCUCUAUCAAGGGUAGGAAACAUGCAAAACAACACAAGUUCAGGUUGAUAGCAGUCAUAGUUAGUGUGGUUUCUUUUAUUCUCAUACUUUCAUUUAUCAUAACUAUCUACAUGAUGAGGAAAAGAAAUCAAAAGAGAUCUUUUGAUUCACCAACAAUUGAUCAACUAGCUAAGGUUUCAUACCAAGAAUUACACGUAGGAACCGAUGAAUUCUCGGAUAGAAACAUGAUCGGAUCAGGAAGUUUUGGUUCCGUAUACAAAGGAAAUAUUGUUUCAGAAGAUAAUGUUGUUGCAGUAAAGGUCUUGAACCUCCAAACAAAGGGCGCUCACAAAAGUUUCAUUGUUGAAUGUAACGCACUCAAAAAUAUUAGACACAGAAAUUUGGUUAAGGUUUUAACAUGUUGUUCUAGCACAAAUUACAAAGGUCAAGAAUUUAAAGCUCUAGUUUUUGAAUACAUGAAAAAUGGAAGCUUAGAACAGUGGUUACAUCCUGAAACUUUGAAUGCAAAUCCUCCAACAACAUUGAACCUUGGUCUUAGAUUAAACAUCAUCAUCGAUGUUGCUUCUGCAUUACAUUAUCUUCAUCGAGAAUGUGAGCAGUUAAUCCUCCAUUGUGAUCUAAAACCAAGCAAUGUCCUUCUUGAUGAUGACAUGGUUGCUCAUUUGAGUGAUUUUGGCAUAGCAAGACUUGUCUCAACCAUUUCUGGUACCUCUCAUAAGAAUACUAGCAUAAUCGGAAUAAAAGGAACAGUUGGUUAUGCUCCACCGGGUAUGUUUUAAAUUCUUUAAUCUUCCAUUGUUUUUUUGAAUCUUCAUAUGUUUCGGCGUAGUGAUAUAUAAUACCUUUUGUUACAUAUUUUAGAGUAUGGGGUGGGUUCAGAAGUAUCCACUUGUGGUGACAUGUAUAGCUUUGGAAUCCUUAUGCUGGAAAUGCUUACUGGUAGAAGACCCACUGAUGAACUUUUUGAAGAUGGUCAAAAUCUGCAUAACUUUGUUACAAUUUCAUUUCCUGAUAAUCUUAUAAAGAUUUUGGAUCCACAUCUUUUACCAAGAGCUGAAGAAGGAGGAAUAGAAGAUGGAAUUCAUGAGAUUCUUAUUCCAAAUGUAGAGGAGUGCUUAACUUCACUUUUUAGGAUUGGACUUUUAUGUUCAUUGGAAUCAACAAAAGAAAGAAUGAAUAUUGUAGAUGUCAAUAGAGAGCUUACCACAAUCCAGAAGGUCUUUUUAGCUGGUGAGAUGAACUGAUAUUCCUAUAUCUUUAUUAGAAUCAUAACUACGUCAUUAAUUGCUUAUGGAAUUAGAGUUUUAUUUUUAUCAUCUUAUUUUGUAUUUCAAAAUUCCCAAACUACAAAAUAUAAUGGUAAUAAUGACCUUCUUGAUUUUAAUUUCAGGGUCUUGAACAAAAUUUCUAAGUCAUUUGUGGAAAGAGAAGAUAUGCAGCAUAACGUACUUUGGUUAAGAAAAUGAAUGUUCAGCUUGAAUCACAUGUCGCUAUACUUUGUUUACUAGUUUUUUAUUCUCGAAUUAUGUACAAUUAUGUACAAUUGAUAAUUCUCCCAUAUUUAUUUUAUCUUCAUUCUCAUAAGAAUUGUCAAUGUAGUUAAUUCAAUGGGUGUAUAUUUAAUCAAAUCUUUAUUAAAAUAUGUGUUCAAUUCCUAAGUAUCUUAAACUUUGUUUGCCCAAAUAAAAAAGCAAACAAUUUAUGUGAACUGAUUUUACUUCUUAGUAUGACUACAAGAAAAUGGUGUUUUAGAUUCAACAGGAAAAAUGGAUGCUAAAAGACAAAUUGUGGAUGCUAACAGCCUUUUAGAGUUAAUAUAGAGUCAAAAAAAUUUACGACAAUAAACGCUUGGAUGCUAAACACUAACUUCCAAUUGACGCUAAAAUAGCAUUUUCAAAAGCGGACGCUAAAAUUAAAGCUAGACGCAUAUUAAAGGUAUAUAUAAUGUAGACACUACAUAGCAUCUAUAAGUGUGAAUGCUAACACAAUUUAAAACUAAAAUGCAAAGUUUAGAGUUCAAAAUUGUGGACCCUAAUAUUAGGAUCCAAAUAAAAAAAAAUUGACGAUGCCAUGAAAAAUAGCCUAUGCAAUAGCAUUCAAUUCACUGAUUCUAAUUAACCUGAAUGCAUGUGGUUAUUUUUUUGUUGAUUAACAACCCCUAAUCAAACUUAGAAAAUAAUAUUCAUGACUUAAUAAUAUAAUUUUAUAGAAAUCAAAAUAAGACUUGGAAUUCUUACAUGAAUCCGGCAUAGAGUUUGGGAUAUCUAUAGAUAUACAUCAAUUGCUAUUCAUAAUUUACACAGUAGUAGAGACUGUUAACAUUACUUUGAAAUCAUUCCAGGAUACAAUUAGGUUCUGCUAAAUGCGGUGUUAGACUUUCUUGGAACUAAAUAAAACAAAUUCAAGACAUUAGUCUAUACAUAGCACCGAUGCCACAAACACAAGUUAGUAAGCAUAUAAUCAUUGUCAUCAUUAACAGAAAACUACAAGCAAAUGAGUAUUUAUAAACAUUACUUACAUCAUAAGCUGCAUUCACCAGAAUAAAUGGAGUCGGGAAAAAAAAUAUACUACUUACGCAUGAAGAAAAAAUCUUGCAUCACUCAAACAUUGCUAUGUAACUUGAUUGUUGGGAAGAGGCGGCUGCACUUAAAACCUGAAAAAAUUAAUCGUUAUGCAUGUAAACUUCAAAGCGCAUGGGGUUGCCACACUAACCUUUAGGUUCGAUUCGCCCCCACCAAUAACGGUAUUUGAAUCAAUGCUAAGGUUCAUUAAACACCUUUUUGCCAAAGGUUCCAAUGUAUAUGAAUGAUUCUCAUGAAAAGUUACAACUCUUGGUGAAGAGUUACAACUUUUGGUUCUAAAGUGAUUCCAUUAUUUUAGAAAUCACCAAGAAUCCCCCAUUUUUUCAAAAAUACUAAAUCUCACAAAUCCGGAAAUUUCAUGCCUUGAGAUAAUGGUAUCUCACAAUUUGAACCAUUACUUAGUAAGUUAAGUUUUCGUUCAUUCCCAAAGAGUAUGGUAGACAAGCUUUGAACCAACUAUUCAUUAGAACAAGUAUGCAUAACUUACACAUAGAAUCUCAGUACCGUUGAUAAAGAGAAUUGUAAAAUGACACAUUACGAAGGCCUUGUGUCAUAUAUCCUUUUUCAUGAGAACUUAAGAGUCAAACCCUCGAAACUCCGUGAAGCGACCAAACUUCAUUCUCACAUAGGUAGACUAUAUCGGGAUGCCCAAUAAGUAUGCAUUUCAGAAAAUAUAUGUUAUAUGUCCAUUAAGAGAAAAAUCUCAUCCUACCCCUUUUCUUUCUAUGGUCCAAGUACUUUGAUCCCUUGGGAUGCAUCUAUUGUCAAGUACUUCAAUCACUCUAAUAGUAUACCUUCACCAUUGCACCCAAGACUUGAUGUUACUCAAGUGUUGAGUUUCCACCAUUGGUGAUCAAUUAGAUUUGGGCUUAUACCGCAUCCCAUAUGAUAUCUUCAAUGUUUCAACAUCAUAUCCAAAUUUAUCAUAUCCUUGUCAAUCAUUUCGUCAAAUAAUUGCAAGAUGUUCGUUUAACUUUUAUAAACUUUGAAUAUUCAAUUCUUCACAUAGAUUUUGUGUUUUCAUAGCUUUGUAUAUGGAUCAACUUAUACUCUUAAUAGUGUUCACCUACUAUCAUUAAACCAUGACAUUAUUGUCAAUUUGAGUAUAUUGUACUAAUAGACAAACUCUUAUAUCAUUACACCUUUGCUAUUAAUUUAUUUAACAUGCAUUUCAAUUAAAACAUCAAUAUUUCUUUUAUAUCUUGGCCAAGAUAUAUCAUACUUUGAAUGAAUUAAACAUACAUAGCAAAAUAAAACAUGAUCAUAAAGGAAUGGCAUAACCAAUUUUCACUUCAUAAGAUGGGUUUAAACAUCUAAGUCAUAUACUCCAGAUAGAAUCAAAUAUAACACAAAUAUUUUGAUCUUUCACUCUCAAACGCCCCAUUCUGAACCUCCACUAACUUGAGCGUCAGAGUGUCUGUAAGUGCACAUCCUUCAUUCGGUCCAACGCUCACCACCUUGAACCACCGCAUUAAAGAAAGCACCGGUAGCCACCUUCUGAUCAGGUACGAACACAUGGUAUCUUUGAAAGAUUCAUAAGUUCUCGGAAGAGCACACAACAUGAGUAUAAUUUUACCUUUAUCCUCAAUAUGCACCUCAAUAGUCUUUAAGUCAUCAAGGAUUUUGUUAAACUCCGUAAGUUGCUCCAUGAUGGCCUUUAACUCCACCAUCUUGAAUGAGUAGAGUUGUUGCUUUAGGAAUUCCCAAUGAGCCAAAGACUUUGUCAACUUUGACCACAUCGAUGGCGCGGUUGGUUCUUUCGCUACAUCUCUCAAAACUUUAUCCCUGAGGCACAAGACAAUGACACUCAUGACCUUAUCCACCAUAUCGGUCUUCUCCGCAUGUGACAUGGUGACCAGUAACGCACCUUCACCCUUUAAAAAUUUCUCACCCUUCCAUAAGCCAAAAUCAUUAUCUUCGAAAAAUUUCUCAAUAUCCCACUUUGAACCCAUGGUACUUGAUUAUCGUUUGAUCCUUGCCCCACGGUGGACGCCCAAAUAUUGUUGUGAAUUCGUUAAAAAUUACACCAAUAAAAUAAUUGAUGUGUGGAGGAAAAGAAAGAUAGAACACACAAAAUUUGUUUACCCGGUUCGUUCCAAAACAGACCUAGUCUGGGGGAGAGAGCAGCCCUCCGUUCCACUAUAAUGAUGAGUAACUUUACAAAGAGAUAUUAAAUGGUUACAAGAAUUAGCCUUCAAACCUAACUCUACCAAAAGUCUCAAUCUAUUAUCGUGACUAAGAGACUCAAUCUUAAUAGUGUUUUAUUCAAGGGGAAGCAAAACAAUACCAACCUUAUUGUCUACGACUUAGAGAAAUAUCUCUAUACCCUAGUUUUUUGUUUGUUUCUAAACCCUGUUUUCAGCCCCUCUGUAUCUCAAGGUUUAUAUUUGAUACAAUGUCUAUAUAUUUAUAGUAAAAGUAUCCCUAAAAAUUUGGAAUAAAUCUAAGCACAAAAAUACGAUUCUGUUUUAUUUUCUGCUGGCAAAAUCCGACACCAAUUUCUACUAUUCGGGCGCUGACUUUUUCCGUAAAGAAAAGGCUCAAAACACAACCAAAAUUGAGAUCGAUACAAUACUGAUUAGUAAUCUACCUGAAACAACUGCAUUGUUUAUGAUAGAGGCAAGGAAUAAACUGCUACUGAUUAGUAAUCUACCUGAAACACCUGAACCUCUCAGGAAAAGGAAGAUUGCGCUGAGCGGAAAGAAUUUAACUAGAUGACAGAGGUAUGAUAUAGUGCCAGAAAGAGAGCUCCAAAAAGAUUAAAAGAAACAAUGCCGAUACAACCAAAUAUUACUAUAUGUGCUAUUUUAAAUGGUUGCAAGAUUCAUGAAAACACCUAUGUUGCUAAUAAAUUUUUUAAUACUAAAUAUUUUUUUUUUGAAGAAGCUAAAAUGGAUUAUAUUACUAAAAGUCUGGAGAUUUCAGCACAAGGAGUGUCAAAACCCCAGAUGAAAGAGUCAAAAUACAAGAAAUAACAAAGAGUUGGAGCCUAAAUAAGCUCAAAAAAAUAAGAAUGCUGCCCUGUUACAAAAAUAUUCCCAAGCAAGGUAAAGGAUUCAACCACCAUGAAUGGUAGGAGAAAACAAAACUAGGACGAUUUGCCUUCAGCCACCAGUAAGAUUGAAGCUUGACUUUAUCUAGCAAUUGAUUAAAAGAAGCUUCUUUUUGGUGAAAGAUCCAAUCAUUCCUUUCAAGCCAUAUCACCCACACACAUGAUAGCCAAAUAAGGUUAAGAGCUGAGUGUUUGUUGUUUGAAAAACCGAUAAAGGUGCCAAAUUGAUAUAAAUGGUCUGGCACGUUUUCAGGGAACACUAUGUUAUAACCAAGCCAGUUAGAAAUACCAUACCAAAGCUUUCCAAAAAAAUCACAAGAGAGGAAUAAGUGUUUUGCGUCUUCUAUCGUACCGCAUCCACCCACGCAUAACUGAGCAUUCGGAUGUAAAAUGUGUCUUUUGAUUAGAUUGUCCGUUGUUGGUAAUCUAUCACGUAACAAGCGCCAAGCGAAGAAGCUGAUUUUCAGGGGCACUUCCUUGUUCCAAAUUUCAGUAAUGUGAGUAACCGUCAAGUUGUUACUGUUUGAUGUCAACAUAUGGUUAUAAGCACUUGAGACAUUAUAACUGCUGGAGGCAUGUAAGUGCCAAAUCCACCUGUCAGGAUGAGAAGGCUGCAAAACAAUAUUAGAUAAAAUAUCACAACACUCCCGCACCUUCUCCUCCUCCCAAGCUAACAAACGACGCCGCCACUGCCAAGCUACACCCUCAACCCCCCACCCAAGAGAGUACAUUUCAGCCACCGUUGCCAUUUUAUUAGUAGCUAGAUCAAAAAGACGACUGAAACUGUUCUUCAAAACUAACCCGUCAAUCCAAGGAUCCCACCAAAAUAAAGUUUGGGCACCAUCACCUACCUCCCGCCCCACAUUAUCAUCAGACCACCGCCCACCUCCCACACCAGCCCCAUUUUUAACAUUUAUCAAAUUAUUCCACCAAACAGAGUUAAACCUUCCCUCCUCGGCUAUUUUACCUCCUACCUCACCAUAUUUGGCUGAUAAAACUCUAUACCACAAACUCAUAUUCUCAACCCGCAGCCGCCAACACCAUUUACCAAGUAAAGCCAAAUUAAAUUCCCUAAUCCUCCGCACUCCUAACCCGCCUUCCUCCUUUUUUGAACAAAUAGUGCUCCAAUUAAUCCAAGAAAUUUUCCUAACCUCCUCACAACCCCGCCAAAAAAAACAGUUAAAUAAAGAUUCAAUAGAAGAAAUGAUACCUGCGGGAGCUUUGAAGAAGGAAAGAAAGUAGACCGGAAGAGAGGACAAGACAGACUUUAGGAGAACUAAACGGCCACCCAAAGAGAGAUUUCUACUCUUCCAACCCGAUAAUCUUGAUUUAAUACGAUCAAUCAACGGUUGCCAAAAUUUUAAUUUUCGAGGAUCACCACCUAUAGGCAACCCCAAAUAAAGGAAGGGUGUCGUGCCCAAUUUACAAUUAAGAACAAAAGCUGCCUCAGCCAACCAAGAGUCAUGAAUAUUAACACCAACUAACAUACUUUUGUGGAAGUUUGCCUUAAGACCAGAUGUUGCCUCAGAAAGAAGAAGCAAAGCUUGUAGAGAUCGAAUAUUAGCCCAACUUCGUUCCCCAAUCAACAAGGUGUCAUCAGCAAAUUGUAAAUGAGAGAUGGAGACAUGAUUAUUUGCUCCCACCUUGUAGCCAGAAAAUAGGCCAACCUCUACUAAAGCCUUCAUCAUGACAUUCAAACCUUCAGCUGCUAUUAAAAAUAGAAAGGGUGAAAGAGGGUCACCUUGUCUCAACCCACGUUCAAAUUUGAAUUCAUCUGUUGGGCUACCAUUAACAAGGAUAGAAGCUGUGGCCGUACUGAUGCAUUCCAUAAUCCACUUACGCCAUAAGGUAGGGAAGUUCAUUUUUUUCAUGACAGAUUCAAGGUAGGACCAAUCAAUGGAAUCAAAAGCCUUCUCAAAAUCAACUUUGAAUAAGAGCAAAUCUUUUUUCAAGCGCUUAGCGUCCUCCACAAUCUCAUUAGCAAUGAGAAUACCAUCAAGAAUUUGUCUACCAUGAAUAAAAGCGGAUUGUGUUUCAGAAAUAACACUAGACAUAACCCUUCGCAAUCUGUUGGAAAGAACAUUGUAGAGACUUCCAACCAUAGAGAUUGGUCUGAAGUCAUUCAGGCACUGCGGGCACUCGAUUUUUGGAAUUAAAGCAAUAAAAGUAUUAUUGAUGCCUUUAGACAACUUUCCAUUCCUGUGAAAAUCAGAUAAGAAGCGCAUAAAAUCAUCACGGAGUUCCGGCCAAAAAUCCUUAACAAAACCCAUAUUAACCCCAUCUGGUCCAGGACUUUUAAAACUGUCACAAUCCCAAACCGCUUGCUUAACUUCGUCAACUGAAAAAGUUUGAUUAGGUCACCACACUGACCUACAUUAAGCUUAUUAAAAUUGAGAUUCUCAAUGCAAGGUCUUUCAGCAGCCACAGAUUGGAAAUGAGCUGAGAAAUGAUUGAAAACUAGUCCCCGGAUCCCUUCAACUCCCUCCACAAUAGUGCUAUUAACAGAUAAGGAAAAAAUGGAGUUUGCUCGCCGCCUAGAGGACAUAAUGCAGUGAUAGAACUUAGUGUUAGCAUCUCCCUCUUUCAACCAAAGUAAUCUAGAUUUCUGCCAUUGCAUGCUGGCAUUAAUACGAGAUAGUGAUAAAAAGUCAGAAGAUAAAGAAUGGAGCUCCUCAAUUUCCUCCAAUAAAAGAUCAUCCUCCUCCCCUUUAGCAUCCAGAAAGGAGAUACGAUCUUGAACGUUGCUUAAGCGUCCUUCAAGGUUUCGAGUAUGAUUCUGAUGCCACGUGUUCAGGCUUCCUUUAAUCAUCUUCAGUUUUUCUUUAAGAACAAAGCCUCCCCAACCAUCAAGAUGAUAAGAUUGCAAAUUAUCUCUGACAAAUUGUUUGUAACCUGGUAAGUCCCCCCAACACUUCAGCAUGCGCCUAGGACGAGGGCCCCAAUUUUCUUCGUUCAUAGACAACAAAAUGGGACAAUGAUCAGAAAGGCCGCGGUUUAAAGCACGUUGCACCAUAUUGGGCCAAAUAGUGCACCAGUCUUCAGAAAGGAGAAAACGGUCUAGACGGCUCAUAGAAACACCAUCCCCUCUAAACCAAGUAAAAUUUUUGCCACAAAGAGGAAGAUCAAAGAGGAUGUUACUGUCAAUAAAUUGAUUGAAAUGAGAAUAAUCUUCAAUAAAAGAACCAACCACUCUGCUUUUACGUUCAGUGGGAGAACGAAUAGCGUUAAAAUCACCGCAAACACACCAACAAGUCUCUCUAAAAUUACCAAUAAUUGUUCCAAGGUGAUUCCAAACAUCUUGCCACCGAAGGGGGUCACACGGUGCAUAUACAUUUGCAAGAGAAAAAACAGCUCCAUUUUUCACCAUUGUGCCUUGAAUAAUAACAACAUGAGCCACACUCCUUGUAAUAAUAACAUCAACUUCCGCAGUGUCCCAAAUAGUUAAGAUGCCACCGGAAGCUCCCAUAGAUGGUCUGUAAGAGAAACCGUAGUUUUGAUUACCCCAAAGCGAAUAACAAAGAAAAUCAUUAAUACUUUCCAACUUAGUUUCCUGAACACAUAAAAUCCACGGACGGUGAAAUUUCACAAUCUUUUGAAUUUCCUUUCUUUUCUCAAAACUCCCCAACCCUCUUAUAUUAUAAGAAAUAAAUUUCAUUGUGACCACCAACACGAAAAGUAACAACACAAAAAUUAACAACCUGCUGAGGAGACCGCAACAUUGGCAUGGCUGCCCUCAACUCCUACAACUCCUUUGAUUAUCUUCCUCUCCAAAAUAUUAGGCCGAGAGAGAGCUUGGAACAUAUUAGAACAAUCACCCUUGAAUUGUAAAUUGAUAGCUUUACCAAUAUCUACAAUAUCUUUACCACGGCCAUUAGAUUUAUCAUGCAAAGGAAUCCAAUUUUUCCAAUCUUCCCCGGAUGCUGUUGAAGAUGAUUUCGCAUCCAAACAUUCUUUGUUCUUAUUGUUAAUAGAACAAGAGGGAGCUGCUGAUUUUUUGUUGAGUUUCUUGAGCAUAUGAAUUAAAUUCUGUCGAUCUUUGAGUGGCAUACGGGCAAUACGGCGGAGGCUAAUAAGAGUAGGAUUAUGAGUAACAUUAUGCCGAUGUUUCAUCACCUUAUUCUUUUUUGAAUGUGAGAAAACAACACCAGCAUCACCUACAUGAUGAUCCUUGAUCCAAUCAAUACUGCAAGGACCCGAAAUUGUUGAAGAUUUUCGAGUGUUGGAACAAGAUGCUGCCUUUGUUGGAUUAAUUUUGCUUGCUGCCCCAUUGCGUAAACUAUUGGAAGAAACACGAGGGUCUGAUGGUUGUCCUUCAUAAACUUUUGGCUGCACGGGAUUAAAAGGUGAAGAUACCUGUUGUUGUUGGAAAUUAAAAGAAGCUGAGACAUGGCUGUUUUGCGCAGCUGAGAGGGCAGCGGAGGGUGCUGCUGUUUUCUUAUCAAUAGAAUGCUCCCAAGCCUCCUUGAGAUCAUCAACAAGGGCCUCAACAAAUGGUUCUUCAUUAUGCAUUUCCUCAAAAUAUUCCGAGCAUUCAGAAACAGAAUCAGAAGCUUCUUCCUCAAAACAAACAUCACGAGCAAAAACCGCUUCUGCUUCCUCCACAAAUUUAAUACAAUAUUGUUUAUCAUCAAUCAAAAUAUUCUCCACCACAUUAAUGGCAUCAAAACAAUUUUUGCUAAGUAAAAUACGAGCAAAAUCAAACCUCUCCAAAUUAGUAGUGCAAGGAUCAAUUUUUAACAGUCUCCCAAAAGGUGAUGAAAUAAAUUCAAGGAAUUUAGAAUGCCAUACGUGUAAGGGAACACCAUAGAUCCGGAGCCAAACACCUCUUUCAGACACAAUGUCCUCAGCCAAGGACCAAGCACACACAUCAGAAAAGAAACAGUUAAAAAAAUCAGCAGCUUCGUGAUAAACAAACAUCAUAUCUUCUUUGCCGGGACAAAAAAGAACCACAUUAUCUCCACCUCUAGGUAACACACGAAUAUUAUCAAAACCAGCAUCAAUGAUUUUUUGUUGCACAAUAGGAAUAUAGUCCCCAUUCAGCACUCUUGCAAACGCCCCUUUACUUGCCCAAACAACAUCUUCAUUAUCGGAAAUAAACUUGCGUGCGACAUUUGCACCACUACCGACGUGACUAUUCACUACUAGAAAAUUCGUUUUUAGCGACGGAAAUUUGUGAGGGUUUAAUUUCCAUCGCAAAUUGUGACGGAUUUUGUGAGGGGUACUCUUUUGAUGUCAUUAGCGACGGAUUAUACGAGGGUCUACGUCGUCGCUACUUAUCCGUCAUAAAUUCCAUCAGAAAUGUGACAUUACGUAGUUUUGUGAGGGAUUUAGCGAGGGUUUUAUUCCAUCUAUAACUAUUUCGUUACAUAUUCCGUCGCAGAUUCCCCAAAUAGUUUGCGACGUCCUUGAAUGCCGUCUCAAUGAAUUUAGCGUUUUUUAAUUAAAUGAUGAAAAAUAUGAAUUAAUUCAAAACUUAUGGGUGAGAUGGGACUUAAACUCGCGACCUUGGAUCUGCAAUCAAUGUAAUUUACAACCAGGCUAUGGUAACUCAUUUGUUAUUUCUCUUAAUUGUUUUUUAUUAGUACUAAGUUAUUUUAGAUUUUUUUAAUUGAUUUUUAUUAGUACUAAGUUAUUUUAGGUUUUUUUUUUUUUUUUGAAAAUCUUUCCUUUUCUUCCACACAUGACCUCACUAGUUUGCAUUUUUUUCCUUCAUUUUUACUUAUUUUUUAUUCAAAUCUAAAUUUGGUUUAAAUGUAUUUUUGGUCUUCCUAUUUAUAUAUUUUUGAAGUUUUAAUACCCUUAUUUUAAAAACCAAUAUUUUGAUCCUCUAUUAAGAAAGUCAACGGAUAUUUUUGGUCCCCCAACAACAUCAUUGAUGUGACGCUGACUUGGCACAAUGAUUUAAAAAAUAUAUUUUUAUUUUACUUAUAUAUUACAAUAUUAGUAUUCAUUAUAAAAAUUUCUUCAACAGAUCUUCAUCUUCAACAACCAACAACCACAUACACAUUUGGGGGUUGAGUUUUAAGAGUGCUGAUGAUGGAUUGUGAUUAAUCUUGUGUUAGUGUUGAAUGUUGACGGUAAAGAUGGAGGCAGUUAUUUUAAUUAAUUUAUAAUAUAAAAAUAAAAUAAAUAAUAAUAUUAAUCAAUAAUAAUGACAUGGAAAAUAUUUUUUAUACCUCAUUAAUACGCGGUCAGCACCAUGUCAUUAACGAGGAUGUGACAUCAUCAAAAUUUGUGGGGGAUCAAAAAAAAUUGUUGACUUCCUUAAUAUAGGGAUCAAAAAGUUGGUUUUUAAAAUAGGGGAUUAAAACUUAAAAAAUGUUCGACCAAAAAAAAAAACUUCAAAAAUGUGUGUACAAAAAACCCUUAAAAAGAAAAUUAUAUCCGUUACACCAUUAUUAUAAAAAUAAAAUAAAAAAUAAAAAAUAAAUAGAAAUAGUUGGACAACUUGCACCAUUUUCUACCCAUCCAACCUUUCUUUAAUUAUUAUUAUUUUUUAACAAGCAAUGUAAAAUUUGUAAUGUUAAUUUUUCCAUUUUCAAAUUAUUAUCAAAUGUCGUAGAAAUUUAAGUUCAUACGAAUAAAUAAAUAUUUUAUAAUUUUUUUUAAGGAUUGUAAUUAAAUAUUAUGAGGUAAUUUAUAAUUUAAUUAAUAAAUUAUUUUUGUUUAAUAAGGCAAAGUUAGUGGGGCAUAUUUAAGUAUUUUUCAUUUGAAUCCUUAUUAGUGUAUUGCCAUUGGAGUCAUUAAGUCCUUAAUAGGUACUUUUUUUAAUAGAUUAUAAAUAAGUGAUUAGUCUUUAUAAGAAGAAGAUAUAAGCAAAAUCUUAGUUUCCCGUAAGUUCUUAACACUUGAUAUUAAAUUAUCAAGUGAUAUACUGUCCAUGACUAAUAUUGUAGUGUUGUGUAAAUAAUGCAUCAGCAAUGGAAGUACCUGAUAAUAGAAAGUGGAUCGAUAACCGUACUGAUCCUAAUCAGGAAGUUACUGAAGAAUUUAAAAUCGGAGUUCUUGAAUUUGUUGAGUAUGCUUUGGAACAUGAUAAAGAUAACAUUGGAGGAGGGAGUAUUAGAUGCCCUUGUAAGAAAUGCAAGUGUGCGAAAUUUCAAAUUCCAGACAUGGUAAAGUUACAUCUCUGUAAGAUGGGAUUUAUGAGUAAUUAUUAUCAUUGGACGAGCCAUGGUGAACCGAGUCCCCCAAUUCCCCCGGUGGUUGUAAGUCACUCAUAUUAUGGAAGUAGAGGCCGUAGAGAAUUAUUUGGAAAUUAUGAGCAAUUAGUAAUGGAUGCUGCAGGACCAACAAUUGGUAAUUACCUAGAGCAAGAAGGUCAAGACGAGGGAGACACAAUGCUAGAAGAUCCUAAUGAAGAAGCAGAAAGAUUCUUUGAAAUGUUGAAGGCCGCGCAAACUCCAUUAUGGGAUGGUUGUAGUAAAUAUUCCACAUUGUCAGCUUCUUUAACAUUAUUAAGUUUAAAAGCAGAAUAUGGUUUUUCCCAGGGUUGCUUUAAUGCAUUGGCGCAAUUUAUCGGAAAUGCAUUGCCAGAUAGUAACACUAUGCCUAAAAAUUAUUACCGAGCGAAGAAAUCAAUUGAGGAGCUAGGUUUGGGAUGUUCGAAGAUUGAAUGUUGCCCAAAUGGAUGUAUGCUGUAUUAUAAGGAGGAUGAAGUGCUCCAAAGUUGUAAAAUAUGUGGAGAGGAAUGAUAUACACAUGUCAGAAGACGGGGAACGGAUGAAUUAGUUCCACGAAAACAUAUGUGGUACUUCCCUCUUGUUCCGCGACUACAAUGUUUGUAUUCCUCGAUACAAACAGCCCGCGAAAUGAGAUGGCAUCGUGAGAAACCAAUGGUGAAUGGAUCUUUGUCUCAUCCAUCAGAUGCAGAAGCUUGGAAACACUUUGAUGAAGCAUGGCCUUCUUUCGCUGAAGAACCUCGAAAUGUUAGAUUAGGUUUAUGUUCGGAUGGCUUUGCUCCAUUUGAUAAAACAGGAAGGCGUUAUUCUUCAUGGCCUAUCAUUAUUACUCCUUACAAUUUGCCACCGUGGAUGUGUAUGAGAAGGGAGUUUAUGUUUUUGACCAUUUUAAUUCCUGGUCCUUCCGACCCAACGAGGAGAAUUGACGUGUAUUUACGCCCUCUGAUAGAUGAAUUGAAAAUGUUGUGGGAGGAUGGAGUCGUGACUUAUGAUGUGUUGUUGAAGCAAAAUUUUUUGAUGAAGGCGGCUGUAAUGUGGACGAUCAAUGAUUUUCCAGCAUAUGGGAUGUUAAGUGGAUGGAUGACAAUGGGAAAACGAGCUUGCCCAAUUUGCAUGGAGCGCUCUAAGGCAUUUACCCUUGAUACUAGUAAAAAGACCUCAUGGUUUGAUUGUCAUAGACAGUUUUUACCACAAGAUCAUCCGUUUAGAAGGAAUAAGACUGCAUUUACAAAAGAUACAGUUGAGACGUCAACUCCUCCGCGAAGGCUGAGCGGUGAAGAAGUGUGGGAAAUAGUUAAAGAUUUACCAAGCGUUGAGGAAUCUGUAAAACAUUAUCCUUCAGACUAUAGGGUUAAGCAUAACUGGACAAAGCGUAGUAUAUUUUGGGAACUACCGUAUUGGAAAACUCAUCUUCUUCGACAUAAUCUUGAUGUGAUGCACAUAGAGAGAAAUGUGUUUCUUAAUAUUUUGUUCACAGUAAUGGACACCAAAGGUAAGACAAAAGAUAAUUGCAAAUCUAGGAAGGACUUAGAAGCACACUGUAAGCGUAAGGGCCUAGAGCUGCAGCCUGGUAAGAAUGGUAACAUUGUAAAACCAAAGGCACCAUAUACGUUAACCAAACAACAAAGAAUAGCUGUAUGUGAAUGGGUCAAAAAUCUUAAGCUUCCGGAUGGUUAUGCUUCUAAUUUGAGUAGAUGUGUUGACUUGAAGGAAGCAAAGUUAUCUGGUAUGAAGAGUCACGAUUGCCAUGUAUUCUUGCAACGUCUUAUACCAUUAGCAUUCAAAGCCUUGCCCAAACCUAUAUUGAACACACUUACUGAAUUCAGCAACUUCUUUAGAGAAAUUACUUCAUCGUUAUUGAUGGAAGAUAAAUUGCGCAUCUUGGAGCAAAACAUCCCAAUCAUUAUGUGCAAAUUAGAACAAAUAUUUCCUCCAAGCUUCUUUGACUCAAUGGAACAUCUUCCUAUUCAUUUAGCUUAUGAAGCAAGAGUUGGCGGUCCCGUACAGUAUAGAUGGAUGUAUCCAUUCGAAAGGUCAGAAUAUACAAUCUCCUCGUUACUUUUCUUAUUUCUUUUCAUUUGCCUAAGCUUAAUCUUGAUUUGAUCAAUAGGUUCAUACGGUCUUUAAAACAAAAGGUAACAAAUCAGGCCUAUGUUGAAGGUUCAAUGUGUAAAGAAUACCUACUGGAGGAGUCGACAACAUUUGCUUCGUAUUAUCAUCCCCUAGAUAUUUUAUCAAGGAGAACAAGAGUGCUACGGAAUGAUGAUGGAGGAGAAUCUUCUAUGAAUCCUCCGUUGUCAAUCUUUAACUAUCGAGGCCGUCCUUAUGGAAAAUGUACCACUUCUUUCAUAAAUGAUAAGGAAAUGAAAGCUGCACAUUUGUAUAUUCUUUUAAAUUGUCCCGAGGUGGCGCCUUAUAUUACGUAAGUAUUUCCAAAACAUAGCAUGACUACUUUAUCAUAUGUAAAUUGAAGUCUGAUUUGUUUAUUAUAUAUGUAGCAUGUACUCCGAUAUGUUACGGGAACUCGAUCCAGAGCUUAACGAAGCAGAUUUGGACAAACAAGUAUCCACGGCAUUUCCAGCAUGGUUCAAAAGAUAUGUAUGUGAAUCUCUAUUCGUUAAAAGUAUAUUAACCUUCUUUCUUAGGUUGAAAUUAACAAAACUUUUUCGCGCUUAGGUGCUUGAUUUCAAAAAUGCGAUAGAUGAUGCGCUUUUAAGGAGUUUGGCAUGGGGCCCAAGUAGAUCAGUCACCAAGUGGCCUAAUUAUCUUAUCAAUGGAUACAAGUUUGUGACAAAAUCUAAAAAUGAAGGGAUGAGUACAACAAAUUGCAAUGUAUGCGUUCGAGGAGGGCAAUAUGAAUCUUUGGAAAAUAAUUACUAUGGGGUUUUGACGAACAUUGUUGAGUUACAGUACACAUGCCAUCCAUCAAAAAAGGUGGUUUUAUAUCAAUGUGAUUGGUUUGAUCCUAGUUCUCAAGGGACAAGGAUAGAUAACUAUGGAAACGUUGAAAUAAAAAAAUCUAGGAGAUAUAACAAUUAUGAUCCUUUUAUAUUAGCCCAACAAGCAGAGCAAGUGUAUUUUACAUCCUUUCCUGAAGGGAAACAAGGUUGGCUCGGUGUCAUCAAAACCAAAGCACGCAGCACAAUUCAAUCUUUGGAAAAAAAUGUACCCGAAACAACUCAUGCAUACCAGGAUGAUGCUGAACAACAAAUGCCUGUGUUUGUUUCAGAUGAUGAUUUUCAACAAUGCAUUGUUGACACUAAUGGUGUAGAAGAAGAAGUAGUACCAAUCUCUGUCUUGGACCAACUUGAUUUAGAGAUAGAAGAACAAUAUGAUGAGUUUGAGGAGGAGGAGGAGGAGGAGGAGGAGGAUUAUGAAGAAGUAGAAGUAGAAGUAGAAGAUGAAAUAGAACUGGCAGAAGAAGAAGAUGAUGCAUUUAGAAGAGGAAAAAGAACGCCGAACAAUAUGACUAGUCUUUCUUUCUAUUGUUAUGUUAAAUUUUUUAAGCAAAUCCUUAUGUGUGAUUCUUAUGCAUAUUAAUGGGAAAUGCUAAUUGUGCUUAUGUUUUAAUUUUGUGUGCCUUUUAACUUGUUUAUGCCCAUGUCUAAUUUUGUGCGCCUUUAACUCUUUCUCUUUUAUGUACAGUAGUAAAUUACCUAGUUUUAUAUGUAUAUAGAUAGAUGGAAGACAAUGAUAUUACAAGGGGCAAUGGAAGAGGUGCUGGUAUAAGCAUCAACAAAGUUAAGGGAAAUAAGGGAGGUAAGCAUAAAACUACUUUGUCACAUUCUUCUAGAUUACAAGCACCUAGGCCUGCAGACACCCAACAAUCCCUAUCUACAAAGCAACCUACACAUCAUCCCAUAUCUCAAACACAUACUAACUUCCCACCUUUCCUCUCUACUUCAAGUCCACAAAUGUCUACUAUCCAUGCUCCCACUUCUCAAAUACCUACAAAUACCCAACAACCCCACUCUACAAUGAAACCUACACAUCAUCUUACAUCUAAAACACCUUCAAAUAUCCAACAAUCCCUAUCUACAAAGCAGCCUACACAUCAUCCCAUAUCUCAAACACAUACAAACUUCCCACCUUUCCUCUCUACUUCAAGUCCACAAAUGUCUACUGUCCAUGCUCCCACUUCUCAAAUACCUACAAAUACCCAACAACCCCACUCUACAAGGAAACCUACACAUCAUCUUACAUCUAAAACACCUUCAAAUAUCCAACAAUCCCUAUUUACAAAGCAACCUACACAUCAUCCCUCUCAAAAAAAUACAAACUUCCCACCUUUCCUCUCUACUUCAAGUCCACAAAUGUCUACUGUCCAUGCUCCCACUUCUCAAAUACCUACAAAUACCCAACAACCCCACUCUACAAGGAAACCUACACAUCAUCUUACAUCUAACACACCUUCAAAUAUCCAACUUCCACAACCUACAAGGCAACUGAAACAUCAUCCCAUAUCUCAAACAUUUACAAAUUUCCCACCUUUCCUCUCUACUCCAAGUCCACAAAUGUCUACAAUUCAUGCUCCCACCUCUCAAAUACCUACAUAUAUCCAAUCUCCCCACUCUACUCCUAGUCCACCACAUCUUUCUAAUACACAUAGACCAUAUGAUGUUGUAUCUGGUGGUGAUCCACAUGCAUCAUCAUCAUUAUGUGAUGAUUCGUAUCCGAUAGCUGGGAGUACAGAUCCUACUGAUAGGCGUAUAUGGAUCCGUCCGGGACCACAGUUAAUGUAAGAUUUUUUAUAAGAUUUUCCGUUUAAUUCUAUAAUAACUUGUAUCCUUGU
RNAcentral lists this long non-coding RNA (52701 nucleotides) under Medicago truncatula (barrel medic). RNAcentral describes it as "long non-coding RNA (MTRU_LNC004014)". The record is from RNAcentral. Lineage: Eukaryota; Viridiplantae; Streptophyta; Magnoliopsida; Fabales; Fabaceae.